Molecule: long non-coding RNA, 62606 nt
Filed under: Citrus maxima (pomelo)
Lineage: Eukaryota; Viridiplantae; Streptophyta; Magnoliopsida; Sapindales; Rutaceae
Description: long non-coding RNA (CMAX_LNC000738)
Rfam family: Small nucleolar RNA Z247 (bases 11261-11399)
Source: RNAcentral
UCGUUGUAUGCAUUUUCAUAGCCCAGUCUCAGUGAUGCUGCAAUUGCCAUACGUAGUGAAUCUGCCAAAAUCUUGUUGUUUGCUUUUCCAUCAAGUUUCAAGCAGUUAGUAAACCCAAAAUAAAUUGGUUGUGGCGUCACAUAUUCCGGAUGCCAUUGACGAAGGUCAGGAGAGGGUUUGGAUAGCUUUUCGAGUACGGAUGCAUCUAGUUCUUGUACACAUGACGGAAUCUCUGGCAAAGAUUGAAGCCGGUUGCAGUUCAUUGCAAUUAGUGACUGUAGACACAAUGGAAGUUCAGGUAAUGACCGAAGCAUGUUACAAUCCUCCAAGUGAAGAGUUUCUAAACCCAAUGGAAGUGCUGGUAAUGACUGAAGCAUGUUACAACGCCACAAGUGAAGAGUUUCUAGACCCAAUGGAAGUUCUGGUAAUGACUGAAGUAUCUUACAAUCCCUCAAUUCAAGAAAUUUUAGGCCCAAUGGAAGUUCUGGUAAUGACUGAAGCAUAUUACAAUCCUCCAAGUAAAGAUAACUUAGCCACGACAGUUGCUUGAUACUUGCAGGUAAACUCUCAAAGUUAUUUCCAUUUAAAUUGCCAAUGUUAUCCGGCAACUUAUCAAGUACAGAGCAACCACUUACGGACAAAAGUACAAGCCCCGUUUGCAAUGCCUCAAAUCCAACUUUUCAAGAUCAGUUAGGCACUCUACUGAUGAUGGAACUUCUUCUAUUGCAGUCUGGCCCAAGUUUAGCGAUGUUACUUUCCCAGAAAUCUGUGGAAACUCUAUGAGAUUAACACAAUAGGAGAAAUCAAUAGUUACUGGACAAACAAAAUGAAGAUUGCUAGGAAAAGACCUAAGACUUUUGCAGCCCAUAAAAUCCAACCUACUGAGAUACUUGAAAUUCUGGAUAUAUGAGGGAACACAAGCCAAGUUUGUAUAAUCCAAAAGAUAUGUUUCAACAUUUGGGGUUUCUAAUGGGCCUGGCAUCUUAAUGAAAUGUCGAGAAUGGCUGAGGUUAAUAGAUUUUAACUUGAAAGCUUCCUGCAAUAACAGAUAUAUAAAGACUAUAUUAAUUAAAAAGCAACAUUGAAUUCAACAAUUAAUUGCACGUAUAUUUAAAGAAAGAAAAAAUUAAUGUUUUAGUUUUAGUACAGAACUUACCUUUUCUCCUUCCCAAAGUUGCUCAACUUUACUAAAACGCAAAUUCAGUUCAACAAGGUUCUUUGGCUUGAAAUUUGAUGGCAGUGUCCUUAAGGGAUAUGUGUCCCAAUGAAGAUAUCUCAAUUUUUUAGGAAGAUAAUCUAGGCCAUUUGGAAGCUGCACUUUAGAGUAUGAAAGUUGCUCUUCAAUGCUCAUACUUAGAAACUUUUCAAUCUCAGGUACAUAAAAUUUGAGCAAUCUUAGAUUAGACAUUUUUGUGAAGGCUCCAGGGUCUAAAUUGAUGCCUUUUAUUUUGGACAAAUCCAGAAAUAUGCCUUCAAUUGCAUCGGUCCCCUUAUUAAAAAAAAAAACAAAGAAUGAGUAACCCUAAAACAGAAAAGAAACAUUCGCAAACUUUAUUAACUAAGAACUCCUUAAACAAAAACAAAUUCUGCAAUCUUUGAUUUUAUUUUUUAAAAAUAUUAAAUAUCUAUAUAUGAGAAAAGAAAAUUUUGGGGACCAUUGCAAAAUUAAACUAACCAAAAAAAAAAUUCAAAAUUUCUCUAAUUUACAAACCUGUUAUCUUAAUAUCUAGAAGUUGAGAAGACAAGGCGUAUUUGAUUGGUAUAAGAUUUCGAUUUUUUUUUUAGUCCAUAGAAUCCAAAAUGUUUGUUCAAAAUCAGGGAAAAAAACGAAAGUUAUUUUUUUUUCCACUAGCUGUAAUUGUAUCCAAGUCAAAUUGAGAUACGACCCUUUUCGAAAGGAUUUAAUCAUCUUAUAGCCUCCUUAAGAUACAUUUAAGCUAAAAGGAGUGAUUGGAGGCAGAACUUAGUGGGCCAAUCAGUUCAUUUUAUUAGCGACUGUUGCUUAAAAAAAAUUAUACUCUAAAACACACUUACUUUUUUGAAAAAAAAUAUAAUUAUAUUUAAGUAGAACCAGGUGGGCCAAUCCUCAUGGCACUCACUUUGUUCUGACACUCUUCACUAAAUUUGAAGAAAAAUAAAAUUAUACUCUUCACACUCUUAUUCAACAUUCCAAAAUUGAUAAAAUCUGGAGUUUUCUUUAAAAUUUUAAAAUUUGAAGACUUGUUCUCUUGACACCCUCAGUCAUUAAUUUUACCUAAUUAUGGUUUUGGUUGUUUUGUUCAUAAAAAUGCUUUUACUAAAGGAUGUUCUGGUAAUGAAAAAAUUUAUAAAAAAACAAACAUGGGUGUGCUGAUAUAGUUGGAAAAAUAUGAGUGCAUAACUCCAAACAAAUAAAAGAUACAUAAAAAAAAAAAAGGAGGAUUCUUACCAUAUUAUGCUUUAGUACGCGGCGGAUUUCCUUAGGAUCCCACAACCUACUGCGUCUGCCUGGCUCUUCCUCAGAUUCUUGGCGAACAAUCUCUCGGCCCAUUUCUUGCAAUAAAUCAUGCAUUUGCAAGCAGUUAUCUGACACUGUUAUAAGUGACUUGUCCACGAGGACAUCCAGUCUGUGAGACCCAGAAUCAUCAAGUAUCCUUAACACAAAAUCUUUAUCCUCUCCCUCAAGGAAACACGCAAUAUCUAGAAACAUACUCUUCACCCUGGGCGUUAAUUCUUUAAAACUAAUCUUUAAUGUAUCAUAAAUACCAUGAAUAUCAGAUUCACAAAUCCGAUUUAAGUCGUCCAAUACAUUUUCCCAAUGGCUUUUCCCCUUGAGAUACAGGGAGGAACCCAACACUUUAAGAACUAAUGGAUUGCCAUCGGCAUACCAUACAACCCUCCAUGAGUGCCGGUAGAGAUCUUCAGGACAAUGAUUUUCUUUAACAGCGAAGUUACAAAAAUGCUCGAAAGCCUCAUCAAAUUUCAAUCCAUUGACCCUAUAUAUUUUCUCCACUCCAAAUUUUUCGAGGACUCGUUUAUCCCUGGUGGUUACAACAAUUCUACUUCCUGGACCAUAUUGAUCAAGCCCUCCAAUCAAACCCUCUAAUUGUUCAUCUUUAUUCACAUCAUCGAGUACAAUCAACACCUUCAUGCGUCGGACCCUCCCUUUAGUAAAUUGUGGAAUAUUGGGACCAGCUACUUCAAGUUUUUCACUUAAUAUUGUCGAAAGCAUUUCCUUUUGUAGGUCUUCUAGGCCACCCUCUGUUUCUGAUUUUCUCCUAACAUUUUUUGCAAAGUAUUUACCAUCAAACUCACCAGAGAAUUGAUCGAAAAUAGCUUCAGCAAGGGUAGUUUUGCCUAUACCACCCGUGCCCCAAAUUCCAACAAUAUGGACAGUAUCCCACAAAUCCAUACACAGAAAUGGUUUAAUCUGCUCAAUUCGUGAAUUUAAUCCAACUAGGCCAUUGGAUGAGUCCGUUGAGACUGUUAUUUUUUCCAACUUCUUCAAAACAUCAUCGACAAUUUUGUUUACAAGUUCCGCAUCGUGCCUAAUAUAAAGGUGCAAAGAUGCAAAAACAUUGAGUCAAAUCGGGCCAAGACAGAAACAGAGAAAAGAUGAAUUAGGAAAGAGAGUUACCUGAAUUUCGUGGAUUCAUGGCCGGCUAGAUGGGAUGUUUCUGUCAGUGCAUCCCUCCACUUCUGAACCAUUUCUGGUUUAUCUUCGAACUGUUUUUUGAGCUCAUCAAAACGGUCUCCAAAUGUUCCGUUUUGAUGCCGCACAUCAGAUGGACUUACUCCAUAGAAGACUGGAAUAAUAAUUUGGCCGUUUGUGUUCUUGCAUUCAAGAAUCUUGACAAGUUCAUUCAGGCACCAUUUUGAAGAAGCGUAGUCCUUUGAGAAAAUGACCACCGAAAUUUUUGAACCUUGGAUUGCGUUCAAAAGGGCGGGUGAAAUCUCAUCUCCUCGCCUAAGCUCUUCAUCAUCAAUAAAUGUUUUGAUUUUUUUUCCUUCAUACAAUUUAUCAUAAAGAUAGCAAGUAAAGCUCUUACGAGUGUCCUCCCCUCUAAAGUUGAGGAAGACUUCAUAAUUGCAAGAAGAAGAAGAGGAAGCCAUGAAGGAAAUUCUAGAAAUUUGAAAGUAGAUUUAGGGAAUUAUAAAAAGCUGAAGGAAAUUGGAAUUUUGUACAGUUUCUCCAGCGAGGAACUUUCACCUCCGCACUAGAUUCUUAAGUUUUGAAAAUUAUGAGACCUUUAUAUUGGAAGAUAUUAUAAUCGAAUCAAAACUUAAAAUUUUAAUAUUGUUAAUCUUUAAUCUUUAAAAAAAAAUUACCUCGCCGUUACAGUUUGGAUUAAGAUUUGAGCAAGCAUUUACCUAAAUUUUAUCUCCGCCUGUAAAUUCUUAUGUUUUAAAAAUUAUGAGACCUUUAUAUUGGGAGAUAUUAUAAUCGAAUCAAAAUUUUGAAUUUCAAUAUUAUUAUUCUUUUAAAAAAAAAAUUGAGAUAACAGAGUGAUUGAUAAUAUAGGAGAACUUGUCUAGGCAAGCACAUGCAUACACAGAAAUGUGAUGGAUUCAAAAAGAAAUUAAAGUGAUAAUGUACGUGGAUCCUUAAAAUAAAAAGCGAAAUCGCUUGGUGGCCCAGUAAAAUUAGAGAACAAAGAAGAAUUAGUUAUUGAUAUACAAAAGAGAAACACUCCAAAAUUUCAAGCAAAAAUAGUUUCAUAUACCAUUUCAAUUUUGUAAGGGGUGAGGUUUUGAAUUUCAAUAGUUUCCUCUAAAAUCAAAAGGCAACAAUUAAGUUAGAAAGAGCAAAGAAGACUUAUUAGUACCUUAUUAAAGGUAACAUUAUGGAACUUUCAAUUUCAUUACCUCACUCUUCAAUUUUUAUUGAGAUUUGUGCAAGAAUUUACCUAAAUAUUACCUAAAAUUGAGAUAUCAGAGUAAUAUCAAAUAGAAAAACUUGCCACGGUAAGCCAAAAGUCUAGUCAACCACAUGCAUAAAGCUAAAUAGAACAACUAACAAGAGAACAGAGAAACGCGUGGGUCCCUAAAAGAAAAGGCAAGCACAUAGAUGAAAAAGCCAUUACAUUUCGAUUUUACAUGUCAUUAAUUUCUGUAACACGGUGUGUGGCAGCAUAUGCACAAUCAAGUGAGGCAAAAGGGAUUCGAUUAUCGUGGCAGAACAUGAACGAGGACGCGUGAUGAAUAAUUCCUUCGAUAAAACGAAAAACAAACGCAGAGAAAAGAAUUUCUUAUAUGACAAGAAAUCAAAGAAAUCAAAGUAAUGUUUCAUUUUCCCUUCCCUACCUUUUUUUUGUUUUAUUUUUAUAGCAAAGAAUUAUAUCAUGAAAAGAAUCAAUUUAAUCACCUUUUCUAGCAGCACAAUUUUUCUUUUAUAAAAUUUGACCAGGGAGACAAAGAAUAAUUAUUCAUACCUUCAUCACUAAGGAAAUACUUUUCGGUAUGGCUAAGGUGAGAAAAGGCUUUCCACAAAAACUUGUACUUUGUAUUCCUGUAAAUUUUCUUUAAAGUCAAUAAAAACCAUAAGUUCUUUACAAUAACCAUCUCUUUGAUAAAAAAGUGCCGUAUUCCUUUAGAAUUUAAAACCGGCAAAACUGAAUCAGUGUCUUUGAAGAGACAUAAUGGUCGUAAUUCUUUAAAUGAGUUGGCUAUGGAAAUCGUUAUCCAAGAUUCUUUUACGCCAUAUUCUUUCGUAAACCAAAAUUCAUUUUGGAAUACUCUGUUGAGAAUGUCAAAUAAAACGGCAUUGAAGGAAGUUUUCAAAGGCAGAAUCUGCACUUGUCAGAUGGAUGAUCUGCACUUGUCAAAGACACAAUCCGCGUCGAACGAAUCGACACAUUUCCUUUCGUAUUCACAUAUGCAAUUUUUGAAAAAAUGUAGCUUUUACAUCUAUAAAUAACACUCAGUGUAUAAUGUUUUAUUCAAGAAAAGAAAACAAGUUUCUUCAUGGUAUCAGAGCCAUGAAUACGCUCAAGUUUCUUCAAGUUUCGCUGCUCUGUUUGUAACAAAAACAGAGAAAACCAAAAUCUUCCCACAACCAUUUUUUCCACCAUUUUCUUCCUUAAAAUCAUUCCUACCAUUAUAGAAAUCCAUGCCGAUCAAAAAACAAGCCACCCAUACGUAAAAAACUUGAGUUUACAAAUUUAUCAACAAUCUCAUAAAUUAGAUACAAAACAACGUGAUGUUAAAUCUCCAGAACUGCAGCAGUCUUAAAACGACAUGUCGUUUCUAUUCCAUCAGAACCGACAUAUCAUUUCUUUAAGCAGAGGCCAAACGACUUGUCGUUUUUUUUUUUAUCUAAAAAAGUUAUUUUUUCUUAUUUCAAUCUAGACGCCAAAAAAAAAACAAAAAAAUGGAGAAAACUCCAACUGAAUCUGAUCCUGUUGUCAUUCAAUCUGUUCAAUCUGAUGAGUAUUUAAUGUUGGAAUUAUCUUCACUGAGACAAACUACGAUAUUUGGUCUUAAAUAAUGGAGUUGCAUCUCGCAGAAAGAGAAAAACUCUCAUAUAUUUGUAGCAACACAAAGUCAUCUGAGGAAUCUUCAAAGGAAUAUGAGAAAUGGUAUAGUGAGAAUGAAAAGGUAAAAAAAUGGUUACUCAUAUCCAUGUCUCUGGAUAUCAUGAAGUGAUAUUUACGAAUUCCUACAGCCUACGAAAUAUGGGAUGCAUUAUCAAAAGCCUUCUAUGAUGGAAUCGAUGAAUUACAAGUUUUCACUCUAAACCAGAAGGCGUCUCUACCAAGAAAAAUUGACAGCCACUAUCUAAAUUCUACGGAGAAUUGAUCGAAAUAUUUUGAGAACUUGAUCACCGAGAUAAAGUGAUCAUGAAGGAUCCAGAAGAUGUUGUAAUAUACAAAAGGUCUGUUGAAAGAUUGAGAGUUCACAUUUUUCUUGUUGGGCUAGAUGAAGAAUUUAACCAAGUUCGUGGAGAAAUUCUAUGAAAAGAUAUUAUCCCAGACUUAGAAGAAUGUUAUUCUUUGAUCUGAAGAGAAGAUGUACGGCAAAACAAACUAAACAAGAAGGUCGACUCAGAAACGUUUGCUAUGAUAGCACGACAACAGCCUCAAAGGAAGCUUGUUGACAAGUCAUCACUCCAUUGCACUCAUUGUAGGAAGAAGGGUCAUAUGAAAGCACAAUAUUUUGAAAUCAUUUGAUAUCCUGACUGGUGGGAUACUUGAAAGAAAAACAUCAAGCAGGGAUAAAAAACUGCAGUAGCUGAAUCCACAUCCACUACAGAUCUUAGAAAAGAAUCUUCAGUGCAAAUCGCAACCUCUGUUAGUCCAGGUAAGGCCCUUAAAACUCUUAUACUUGUUAUUAAUAGUACAUGGAUAAUUGAUUCUGGGGCAACUGAUCAUAUGACUUUUGAUUCUCGACAAGUUUCUCAAUUGAUACCAUCUUCACAAAAACAUGUUUCCACUCCAAAUGGAACCACAACCUUAGUUAUUGGGGAAGGAUCUUUACGACUCACAUAUAAAUUAAAUUUAGACUCUGUGUUAAUUGUUCCAUCUUUAGAUUAUAAUCUUUUAUCUGUGUCUCAAUUAACCACUUACUUAUCAUGUGUUGUAAUUUUUUGGCCUGAUCAUUGUGUGUUUAAAGACAUCCAAACGAAGCAAACGAUUGGUUAUGGUAUUAGACGGGGCCACUUGUACUAUUUGGAGAUGACAUCAACAAACACUGGAAAGCUAAGCCCUGCACUAGUCGCAGAUAGUUCCAUAAAAAAAAGGAAAUCAGAAAUUUGGUUAUGGCAUAGACGUUUAGGGCAUGUGUCAUUUGGUUACUUAAAAAAAUUAUUUCCUAGUUUAUUUCUGAAAUUUGAUAUUUGUAACUUUAAAUGUGAUGUUUGUGAACUUUUAAAAAGUCAUCGAACUACUUUUCCAUUGUCCUUAAAUAAGAAUCAAGUUCCUUUUAUGGUAGUACAUUCUGAUGUAUGGGGGCCAUCGAAAGUUUCUACAAUUGGAGGUGCUCGUUGGUUUGUUACAUUUAUUGAUGAUUGUAGCAGAAUGACAUAGAUUUUUCUGAUGAAAUCGAAAGACGAAGUAAACUCUUUAUUUUAAAGAUUUCAUAAGAUGGUGACGACUCAAUUUCAGACACAAAUUCGAGUUCUACAUACUGAUAAUGGAGGCGAGUAUAUGAGCACAACAAUUCAACAGUUUCUGAAAUCACAAGGAACUGUCCAUCAAACCACUUGUGUGGGGACACCCCAACAAAAUGGCAUUGUUGAACGAAAAAACAGACAUUUACUAGAAGUUGUUCGAGCAUCACUAAUCCAGGCCCACAUGCCACUAUCUUAUUAGGGAGAAGCACUGGCAUCCGCAGCAUACUUGAUCAAUCGAACACCUUCAAGCUCCCUUGGAUUCCAGACUCUUUUCCAGGUUCUAAAUGAUGCAAUUAUGUCACCAAAUGUGCCGAAUUUACCCCCACAUGUGUUUGGCUGUGUUGCCUUCGUUCAUUUGCCGCAACAAGACAAAUUAUCUCCUCGAGCACUACGUUGUGUGUUUGUAGGGUAUGCCUUACAGCAAAAGGGAUACCGAUGAUAUGAUCCACCAUCAAGAAAAAUAUACAUCACCAUGGAUGUCGUCUUUCAUGAAGAUAUCAUAUACUACUUGUCAAAGCCUGAAUUUCAGGGGGAGUAUAAUGAAGAGGAAAUUCAUAAUCUUAUAUAUCUUCCACCUAAAGAAGAUCAAUCUUCCAUUGAGGUUGUAAACCUUCAAGAUACUGGAAAAGAAAAUGGUGGUGAUUCUCAGGCUGAGAUAAGUGAAGACACAUUUGGGGAGCAAAAUAACUUAGACACAACUGCAAUCGAGAAUGAGUCACAUGAAGAAAUACCUAACUAAUCGUCUGCAGAGGAUGUUCCUACCACAAGUCCUAGUCUAGUCAGAAGAAUUCUUCCUCAGCGUCAAAAUAGAGGUAUCCCUAAACCCACAUAUGAGCCCGACCUUUCUAGUAGAGUCAAAUACCCUAUGAUUUAUUUUGUGUCUAACCAUCGCUUGUCAGAAUCAAAUCAGUCAUUUGUGAAUCAAUUAUCUACUGUAUCUAUUCCUAAUAGUGUGCAGGAAGCCUUAAAAGACCCAAAGUGGAAAGCGACUAUGAAUGACGAAAUGUGAUCUCUUCAAAAAAAUCAAACAUGGGAACUAGUUGAUCUUCCACCUGGAAAGAAACCAGUGGGUUUCCGAUGGAUCUACACUAUAAAGUACAAAGCAGAUGGCUCUAUUGAACGAUACAAAGCAAGGCUCGUAGCUAAGGGUUACACCCAAACCUACGGGAUAGAUUAUGCCAAUAUGUUUGCACCGGUAGCAAAAAUUAAUACUAUUCGUAUCUUAUUAUCAUUAGCAGUCAACUUGGAUUGGCCAGUGUAACAGUUCGAUGUAAAGAAUGCUUUCCUCCAUGGAGACCUGUCUGAAAAAAUUUAUAUGGAUAUGCCACCAGGAUGUAGUGGACCAGAACGACUCAAUCAGAAAGUAUGCAAAUUGAAGAAAUCAUUGUAUGGGUUGAAGCAACCCCUAAGAGCAUGGUUCGGGAAAUUCACAAAGGCUAUGGUUCUUUUUGGGUAUAACCAAAGCAAUUCAGAUCAUACCUUGUUCAUUAAAAAAUGACAAGGUAAAAUCACUGCCCUCAUUUUCUAUGUGGAUGAUAUGGUAGUCAUAGGUAACGACGGGGAAGCAAGAGAGGCUCUUCAGAAGUACUUGUCGAGAGAGUUUGAGAUGAAGGAUUUAUGAGCCUUAAAAUACUUUCUUGGAAUUGAGGUUUCUCGAUCUAAGGGAGGAAUUUUCCUGUCUCAAAGGAAAUAUGCUUUAGAUCUAUUAAACGAAACGUGAAUGACAGCUUGUCAGCCUAUUGACACCCCAAUAGAAGAAGGACUGAAGUUUUGUAUUACCUCAGACUAAGUUCCAGUAGACAAAGGAAGAUAUCAAAGGCUGAUUGGAAGAUUGAUGUACUUGUCCCACACAAGGCCAGCUCUUGCUUAUGCAUUGAGUGUUGUAAGUCAGCUUAUUCAUAAUCCCGGAGAACAACACAUGAAAGCAGUAAUGCGGAUCCUAAGGUACCUGAAGUCAAAUCCAGGAAAAGGAAUCCUAUGUUCCAAAAAUGGAGAUUACAGCAACAUAGAAGUUUAUACUGAUGCAGAUUGGGCCCGGUCAGUUAGUGAUAGACGCUCUACCUCAGGAUACUUUACCUUAGUGGGAGGCAACCUUGUCACAUGCUGCUUCACUUGCUGCCAAUCCAGUUCAUCAUUCAAGAACAAAACAUAUAGAGAUUGAUGUUCACUUUGUGAGAGAUAUAAUUUCCAACGGCGGAGUGGAAGUAAGAUAUGUCCCUACUGAAUAUCAGCCUGCAAACAUCUUCACAAAAGCUCUUCCUGCUGAUAUGUUUCAACAGUUGCGAGACAAGCUACAUAUUCUUCCUAGAACAUUGCGCUUGAGGGGGCAUUAUGAAAAUAUUGUAGCAGAGCUACCAAACUUGAGUAAUACGAAUUCAAAGUUGUUAGAUGACAUGGCAGCACACUUGGCAUUCAUUGGUGUUUUGGAAAGUUAAAGUGAUCAACCUUAUCUCUUAGCUUAUCAUUAAUUCAAGCUGCACUUUUGUAUUUAUCAAGAUCAAGAUAAAGAUAACAAUUGUGCUAGGCUUGAUCUUAUUCUUGGCAUUAUCGUGUUUCCUGUAGAGCAUUAUAAAUGUAAUGAUUAUGAGAUGAAUAAAAUAACGAAAAUGUGUUUUGUUUCUUCUUUAAGCUCAUCUUUAUAAUUUAAGUUGGUAUCAGAGCAUGGCGAGCUCCAAUUCUGCGAAAUUAGUCAAUAUGAAUACUGUAAACCAAACACCACAAAUUUCUAAUUUUUUGACUCCUGUCAAAUUGGAUAGGCAAAAUUUUAUGAUAUGGAAGUCUCAAGUGCUACCUUCCAUUCGUGGUAACAAUCUUGAAAGCUUGAUCAAUGGAGCAAAACUUGUACCCACUAAAUUCUUGGUGCAAGUAGAAGAGGAUCAAACAGUAACGACUGUGGAAAAUCCAGAAUAUAUACAAUGGCUGAGACAAGAUCAGCUUUUACUUAGUUGGCUUUUGUCCACUAUGACUGAAUCAGUUUUAAGCAUAGUGGUGCAGUAUACAACCUCUUUUGAGGUUUGGAAUGCCUUGAAGACAUUGUUUGCAUCUCAGUCAAAGGCUAGAAUUUUGUAGCUCAAGAUGCAACUCCAAACCACGAAAAAGAAUGCUAUGACCAUGAGUGACUAUGUCAACAAAAUGAAAAAUUUAGCUAAUAGCCUGGCAAUGGCUGGAAAAUAUGUUACUGAAGAUGAUUUAAUUUCUUAUAUUCUUGCAGGUUUAGGAACUAAAUACGACCCUGUGGUUGUAAAUAUUACAGCAAGAACAAAUGAUUUAUCUCUGCCUGAAGUAUCCUCUCUUUUGCUCAAUCAUGAAAGUCGAAUGGAACAACUCUCAGCUGCUGCAAAUCUUGAGUCUAAAGGCAGUUUUAAUGCAAAUUUUGCAGGAGCUUCUUUUCACAAAAGGAAAGUUAUAAGAAAAGGCUUUAUGUCAGGAAGUUUAUGAGGCAAUGAACGUGGUAGAGGCAAAGGAAGAACCAAUUUUAGCCGUGGUGGAAAUAGGCCAACCUGUCAGAUAUGUGGCAAAUAUGGACAUUCAGGAUAUCAAUGUUUCUUCCGCUUUGAUCGGGGGUUCUCUGCAAGACAAGAGGCAACACAAGCAGGUCAAGCCUCUGCCUAUAUGGCACUCCCUGCUGAAGAAAUAGAUAAUGGAUGGUAUUUGGACAGCGGAGCAACACACCAUGUUACAAAUGAUUUAAACAAUCUGCAGAUUAAGUUAGAAUUUAAGGGAGGUGAGAAGCUGGUAGUAGGUAAUGGUAAAACUUUAGCAAUAUCUCACAUUGGCAGUGCACUUAUUUAUAUUCCAAACCAUGAACCAUUGUUGCUUAAUGACAUUUUAUAUGUGCCCAAAAUCACCAAGAACUUAAUUAGCAUUUCAAAAUUACUUUCUGAUAAUAAACUAAUGCUUGAUUUCUGUGACAAUGUUUGUACUCUUAAGGACAAAGUUCUGGGGAAGAAGCUGCUGCAGCGAAAAAUUGAAAGAGGCUUAUAUCGGCUACCAGUGCUUUCAAGACAAGCCAUUCUAUCUGAUUCAAAAAUUAUUUCCAAUAAAUCUUAUUAGUCUUCUCUUCCAUUUAGCUGUUUCAAUUCUAGCUCAACAAUAAGUUCUGUAAAUGAACAAGAAUUUAUUUCCAAUUCCAAGCCUAGCAGUUUUAUAAAUCUUUUGCACAGAAGGAUGAGACAUCAUCAUCUUGCUGUACUAAAACAAAUUCUACCUUUGUGUAACAAAACAAGUCAGUUAAAUAAAAAUCUCAUUCCUCAAUUCUGUGAUGCAUGUCAACAAGGAAAAAGUCAUAGGCAAACUAUCAAAGCAUCAAAUAGUAGAGCUUCAGAACCUUUAGAAUUAUUGCAUCUUGACUUGUGGGGGCCUGCACCUUUAAUGUCUAGAAAUGGCUACAAAUAUUAUUUGAGUAUUGUAGAUGACAACACACGUUUUACAUGGAUAUUUCCACUUAAAGUUAAAUUACAAGCGUUUGAAGCUUUUAAGUAUUUCAAAGUUCAAGCCGAAAAACAAUUAGGAAAGAAAAUCAAAAGUUUACAAACUGACGGUGGAGGAGAGUUUCAAGCAUUUACAAUUUUUUAAAAGAACAGGGUAUUAUUCACUGACUUUCUUGCCCACACACGCAUCAUCAAAAUGGUAGAGUGGAGCGAAAACACCAACAAAUUGUAGACACUGGUUUAACACUUUUGGCAUAGGCUGGCAUGCCACUCACUUUUUGGUGGGAUGCUUUUCAAACAUCUGUUUAUUUAAUUAAUAGAAUGCCUACUUCCAUCUUAGAAAACAAAUCACCAUUUCAAAUACUUUAUGAUGAAGAAUAGGAAUCAAUAUUAUACUAGGAUUAGUUUCCUUAUUAACUAAAGUUUAAGACUUUUAAAUUCCUUUCUAAUUUAGAAUUUUGUUUCCCUUUCAAUUUAGGAUUUUGUUUUACUUCAUGAAUUAGGAUAAUUAUUACUACUAUAAAUAGCUCCCUCUUGUAGCCUUUAAAGGCAGAGAAUUUUGAGUUUAAUAAUAUUUCAAUUUUCAAAUCUCUUUGUGAGUAUUUGAACAGUUAAUUCUCGGUAUUCUGCGAAAUCAACGAGUCUUAAAUCCCUAAGUUCGCGGUAUUCUUUUGAAUCAACAUGAAUUUAGUUGUUCUUUUAUUCUGGUAUUCUCUAGAAUCAACGGAAUAUUUUGAAUAUUAAACUUCCACUGCAUCACUUUACAAGAAAAUACCUGAUUAUUCUUUUCUAAAAGUUUUUGGAUGUGCUGUAUUUCCUCAUCUUCGAGAUUACAACAAACAUAAAUUAGAUUUUUGAUCAGAUAAAUGUAUAUUUUUAGGCUAUAGUACAGCUCAUAACGGGUAUAAGUGUCUCCACAAGUCAGGAAAAAUUUUUGUAAUGCGACAUGUUGUCUUUAAUGAAUAUGAUUUUCCUUUUAAAAGUGAUCCCUCCUUCAAAAUCUCAAAGAGUUAUCCAAAUCAUGAUUCUAGUACUCUCUUUCAGUCUCCUAUGUUUGCAGGUUUUGAAAGUCCUAGAGCCUAUAAGACUCUCUCGGUUAUUCAUGCAACAGACUCUCUACUAGAGUUGGUUCAUAACACAAUAGUUAUAGAUCAGGCAUCAAGUCAAGAUGAGGAAACCAAUUUUGAAUCCAACACCAAAAGCCCACCUGGAAAAGCCAACCUUGAAUCAAGCACUGAAAUCCAAGCAACUGAAAACACCACACAAUCUUUAUCUAUCCCCGCGUUUAUCAAUCAAGAAGCCGAUCACACAAUCUCUCAACCACCUAGUUCAACUCCUCAUUCUCAACAGCCAACACAUACACAAUCCACUCAUCCAAUGAUCACUCGUGCCAAGGCCGGCAUCUUUAAACCCAAACCUAGACUUUACCUAACAACCUCUCAUACCAAAAUAAGUGUACAUGCCAGUGUUAGUGAAGCUUUGGAAGAUCACAAUUGGCGUAAUGCUAUGACAGAAGAAAUGAAUGCUUUGGCUAGGAAUAACACACGGUGUUUAGUUCAACCUACUUCUGACAUGAAGAUUGUGGGAAAUAAAUGGGUUUUUCGGAUAAAACAAAAGGCUGAUGGUUAGAUAGAGCGAUAUAAGGCUCGGUUGGUUGCAAAAGGAUUUCAUCAGACCCCAGGAAUCGAUUUCAACGAGACUUUUAGUCCUGUUGUUAAAGUUGCAACAAUUCGAUUGGUGUUAAGUAUUGCUGUGAUGAAAAAUUAGGGUGUAAUACAACUGGAUGUGAACAACGCCUUUUUAAAUGGAGACUUAGUAGAAGAUGUUUACAUGAUGCAGCCUGAAGGCUUUAUCAACAAAGCACAACCAAAUCAUGUGUGUAAAUUGAGAAAAGCAUUGUAUGGGCUUAAGCAGGCUCCAAGAGCUUGGUUUGAAAAACUCAAGAGAGCAUUGAGUGACUGGGGUUUCACAAAUUCUAAAUUAGACACAUCACUAUUUAUUUUGCAGCAAGGAAGGGAUAUAAUAUUUGUCCUUAUUUAUGUGGACGAUAUUUUAAUAACAGGAAGUAAAGAAAGUUUGGUGCAAGAAGUUAUUGAACGACUUAAUUGUCAGUUUGCUUUAAAAGUGCUCGGACCAUUAAGCUAUUUCCUUGGUCUUGAAGCUCAUCGCACAGAGAAUGGCCUACAUCUUAGCCAACACAAAUAUAUUUGUGAUCUCUUGAAGCGCACAGAUAUGGAUGGCUGCAAGGAAACAUCUACUCCUAUGAGUGUAGUACCGAAACUUUCAGCUGAAGGUGGUAAGCAAUUUUCUGAUCCUACACUUUAUCGUAGCAUCGUUGGAGCCUUAUUAUACGUAACUAUUACUCGGCCUGAAAUUUCUUAUGCUGUUCAUCGUUUAAGUCAGUAUAUGCAAAAUCCUUUACAGCCGCAUUGGCUUGGGUGUAAAAGAAUCCUUAGAUAUUUACAAGGAACAGCUGAUUAUGGAAUUUAUUAUACUACCAAAGGAAGAAUGACGCUCACAGGCUAUACAGAUGCAGAUUGGGCAAACAAUAUUGAUGAUAGAAAAUCAACUGGAGGCUACUGUAUUUAUCUUGGCAAUAACUUAAUCUCAUGGAGUUCAAAGAAACAAAAUGCAGUAGCAAGGUCUUCAACUGAGUCAGAGUAUCAAGCACUUGCAAAUACCACAGCAGAAAUUUUAUGGCUUCAAUCUGUGCUUAAAGAGUUGCAGGUGCCACUAACUGAAAUUCCAAUUAUUUGGUGUGACAACACUGAAGCUGCUUCACUUGCUGCCAAUCCAGUUCAUCAUUCAAGAACAAAACAUAUAGAGAUUGAUGUUCACUUUGUGAGAGAUAUAAUUUCCAAAGGUGGAGUGGAAGUGAGAUAUGUCCCUACUGAAUAUCAGCCUGCAGACAUCUUCACAAAAGCUCUUCCUGGUGAUAGGUUUCAACAGUUGCGAGACAAGCUACAUAUUCUUCCCAGAACAUUGCGCUUGAGGGGGCAUCAUGAAAAUAUUGUAGUAGAGCUACCAAACUUGAGUAAUACGAAUUCAAAGUUGUUAGAUGACAUGGCAGUACACUUGGUAUUCAUUGGUGUUUUGGAAAGUUAAAGUGAUCAACCUUAUCUCUUAGCUUAUCAUUAAUUCAAGCUGCACUUUUGUAUUUAUCAAGAUCAAGAUAAAGAUUACAAUUGUGCUAGGCUUGAUCUUAUUCUUGGCAUUAUCGUGUUUCCUGUAGAGCACUAUAAAUGUAAUGAUUAUGAGAUGAAUAAAAUAACGAAAAGGUGUUUUGUUUCUUCUUUAAGCUCAUCUUUAUAAUUUAAGUAAAGGGACUUUUGCAUAGCCUCUGGUGUGUGUGUGAUUUCUCUUUCGUUUCCUCAUCAAAUUCUGUAAUUCUUGCUUCGAUAAAAAGCUUUUAAUCUCUUCUGUAGUGUGUGAUCAGUGCGUAAUCAUUUUGAGCAAUAACAGCUUGUGGGUUUUUCCUUCAAACAGUGUCGUUUUGGUCAGUUUGUUAGUUUCUGUGUUCGUCUGAUUCCAUUGCUCUUGUUCUCUGUUCUUGAUCUGUUCGUGGAAUUUUUCUUUGGUUAUUUGUUCUCAAAUUUCAACUGUAUAUAAAGUUUGAACUCUGAUUGCUUAUAAUGUAUUGAUUAAGAAUAAUCCUAAGAGUUCCCGAUUGAAAUUUUUAAUGACUAUUUUUAUUGUUUUGGAUAUACAAAUUGAAUUAAGAAAAAAUAUUGUCAAAUUCAGAGGAUAAGGGGAAAUAAUUAUGCUUCAAAAGGCCAGAGAUUAGAGAAUAAAGAAGCAUUCAUUACUCUAUCAAAAAAAAAAAAAAAAAAAAAGCAUUCAUUACUGAUAUACAAACUGCUUUUAUUUGGAUUUUGGAAGGGGUGAAGUUUUGAACUUCAGUUGUUCCUCUAAAAUCAAAAGCAGCAAUUAAGCGUUCUCAAUUAGAAAGAGCUAAGAAGACUUAUUGGUACCUUACUGAAGCUAACAUUAUGGCACAGUUGUUCAUAUAUAAUGGCUGCUCUGUUAUGCUAGCUUCUCUGUUUUUGCUUCUAUUUUUGCUUACAGUUUUGAACAUAAAUUCUUGCUCAAAUAACCCAUAAUUAAAUAACACUAAUAUGGCUCGUGAAAUCCCAUAAUAGCUAAUUACGCAACUUUCUCCUCCUCCUCAAUUCUGUCUUCCCCUGCUCGUACACUAAAUUCAAAAUUCAAUGCCCCGAAAAACAACACAAGAAAUCUUUGAGUUAAUUCGCGACCAGUUUAUAUAUAGUAGCAAUUGAAAAAGGAAAAAGAAUAAAAGAGUUCAUUAUUAUUCAGACCUUCACUUAUUAGGAAGUUUGUUCUGCUGUUGGGUGAGAUCAAGCUCUCAGCAUAUACUUCCACAUUAUACUUUCUAACAUUUUCUUGAAAGCCAUCAAUCAUAAAAUCUUCAUACUUUUUUCCAUCCUUUGGAUCAAUAAGUACAAAUUUCUCAUCUAAAACAGACAAAAUAAAAUCACUGUCCUUCAUGGAACAUAAUGGCUGCAAUGCCUGAACUGAAUUGGCUAAUGAAAUUUGAGUCCAGGAUUCUCUCAGCCCAUAUUCUUUCAUAAUCCAAAAUUCUUUUCUUUCUCGACAUGGAACAUAGUCUUCUUUUCUUUCUGGACAUAUGUCUCUGUACUUUUCUCUCUCUACUGAUCCACACUUUUUCAUACUUCUAACUAUCAUUUUGUUUUUUUUUUGUUAAGUUGUGAUUUAUUCAAUUAUUUUGUAUUUUUAAUGAAAAUUAUUUAAUAUUUAGUUAGUUUUGAUAUUGAUUAGUGAUUGAAAGUGUAUUUUAGAAGACUUCCGGUCUCUUGGAAAAAGGAAAAAUGGAGACGAAGAAGAAGUGUUCUUGAUUUUUUUGUAGGCAUUAAAGUUAAACGGUUUGAAAUGAUAUUUUGUUUUAAUUUCACUCAUUAAUCUCAUUCAGGAUAAAAUUAUAAAUGCAAAUAAAUGGGGUUUCAUGAGUUUUUUUUAAUAGUGUUAAAAGGUCUACUCACUAAAUAAAUAUGUUUAACCCAAACCAAUGCGAUUAGUAAGUUAUUGGGUUGGGUUGAUCAGGUUAAAAAUUAAAAUUAAAAAUUAAAUAAUUAAAAAAGGCAUAAAAACUAUCUGUUACUUGAAAAUAAAAAGAAUUUCUAAUAGUUAGUUCUAAUGUCCCAUAUCCAAAACAUCCAUAUUAAAUAAAUAUUAUAAGUUAGAAAUACAAUAUCCAAGAAAGAAUGAAUGAAAUACCAUAUUUUUGUUGAGAAUUAAGAGUGUGAUUUUAAUUUUGAUAUUGGAGUCUAAAGUGCCACGUUUAAAUAAUCUCUUUUAUAAAAUAAUAAAAAGAGAUUAAAAAUUAGGUUAGCCAUUUAGGCAUUCAGGGUUUAGCAAUUAAGGAUGAACAUAUUAUUGUUGUUGUUUUUUGUUGUUGUUGUUGUUGUUGUUGUUGUUAUUAUUAUUAUUUAUAUGUUUACUAAUCCAAUUUACGUAUAAGUACAAAAGUUUCAAAUAUUGUCUAUUAUUUUUUUAACAUGCCUAUUCCUUGUGGAUAAUUCUGUCUCAUCACUAAUGUUGUUUCUUGCUUACAAUUUGUAUAGCGUCUCAAAAUAGACAAUAGGGGGAUUUUGAAUUUUUUAAGUCUCAAUAUAGUCUCUUAUCUUGUGAGACAGAUUUUCUUUCAAUAAUUUGGAGGUAAACAUAACAUAACUUUUUGGACUAAAGCCUAGCUCUGCUAAUUAGUAAUUGGUGGUAUCCUUUUCAAGACCUGAGUCUUUAAAUUCGAGUUUUAUAUAGUGCGCAUGUGUAUUUAAUUAAUAUUUUUUUAAAAAAAUUACAUCAAAUACUAAUAUUCAUGACAUAAUUUAGUUCAUAAUGUUUUUUUAAAUACAUCGAAAAUAUAAUUUUUUAACAACUUAUAGGCAUGACAAAUUUCAAGAUAUAAAUAUCAGUCAAAAUAAGUGAAAGAAAUAAUGGUGCCAAUUCUAAUUUCUUAACUAAAUUAAUUACUGCAUGAGCCCCCAAUACGGCACGAGAGUUUGAUGGGCUAACUUGGCACAAGAACAAUAGUUAAUUGAUUUAAGAAAUAAUUCAAUGAAAAAUAUAAUUGAUAAGAAUUUAGUAUUGAAAUGAGUUUUUUUCGAAACACUGAAUUAAUGAUUAUUAAGCAAGAACAAUAAAAAAAAUAAAAUAAAAAAUAAAGAUUAACCAUUGAUAAGCUUCAACAAGAACUUAACACAACCCUCAAUCCUAAUUCAAAUUAUAAAUGUCAUUCAUAUAUUCAUUAUAAAUCAAUAACAAAGGUUAUAAAUGUUUAGAAAUUCUAGAGGGAAGGAAGCUAUCGCCGGGCAAUCAACAACUAAAUUUGAUGUAAUUGUGGCACAAGAUGGAAUAUGAAAACUACACCAUAAUUUCAAAUGCCGCCAUAGACAUUGACUUAUCUACAGUAACAAUGAUCUAAUUAAAAUUAAAAUAAAGUUUAUGGGCAUUUAUUAUAUUUGCCAUUCCUCAUUUGCAAAUAGGGAUAUAAUUAUAAUUUUACUUAGUCAAAGCAAUCAGUAAUUUUUAGGGGUGUUCAAAAUUCAAUCCGAUCCGCUCAAUCCGUCUGAUCCGUAGAAAUCCGAUCCGUAAAAAUCUGAUCUGUGGAUUGGUAGAUUGGAUUGAAUUGAAAAUUUGAUAAUCCGCAAUCGGUGGAUUGGGUAUGGAUCUACUUCUGUAAAUUCGUAAAAAUCCGUGAAUCGGCAAAAAAUAAAAAGUAUUUAUUUAUUAAAAAAUAAAACUUGUAAAUAUGGCAAUAGUACUUACUAGUAAAUAAAUAAGUUAAAAUAUAGUUACAUUAACACUAUAUUAUAUCUUAUCCGAUAAUAAUAAAAAAUAAAAAAUAAUUAAAUAAACAAAUAUAACUUUCUAAAUAGUUAAUUUUCAUGUACUGAUCUAAACGAAUGAGAUUUUUUUUUUUUCAUUUUGGUGUGUUAUGUUUUGAACUUUAAAUGUAAUUUUUAGUUUUAUUUAAACAAGUAAUUUAUUUAAAUCUUAUUUAAUUUUAAAUUUGAUCGGCAAUAAAAUUAUUUAUAUUAAUUUUUUUUUAUUUAGUUAGUUCGUAGAUUGGACAGUAUUAAAAAUUUUCAGUCCGUAAACCAAUUCGCAAAAUGGUGGAUUGGAUAUGGAUUGGGUCAAAUCCGCAUCCAAUCCGCAGAUGUAUGAAUUGAAUUUCACCAAUCCAUGAAUUGGAUUGGAUUAAAAAUUUAUAAUCCGCAAAAUCGUGGAUCAGAUAUGGAUUGAGGUCCAAUCCGUAAAAUUUGAUCCGGAAACACCCCUAGUAAUUUUCUUCAUUAUAGGAGUGAAGUAAAAACAUUUAGAUUUUAAUGUAUGUACGGAAAAAUUUAUCUUUAAAAAUACUUUCUUAAUGUGUGUAUAUAUAUUGAAAUACUCAAACCAAUUUUGGUUAUUAUAUAAUUAAACAAAUUUUAAAAUAUGAAAAAUAUAAUGUAGUUAUAGUGGAUAAACAAUAAGUGAGCGCAAUAUAAUUAAUCAAAUAUCAUGCCAUCAAAAGUUAAUUUUAGAAAUUCCAAAUCCAACAGCCAACACAAUUCUUUUAAAAAAAAGCUGACACAAUUAAUAAAAUUAGUGACAUGAAUUUCACACCAUUGAUAAUAAGCAAUUAGUAUUACUUUCUAAACUUGCUUCAACUGGUCGUUGAUGUCCGGGGUCACCAAAAGUAUAAGCAAUAAUAAGGGGCAUUGGGCAAGAGUGAUGAAUGUUUAGUCGGUGCAUUUGAUUGCUAGAUAUAUAAAGGGCCGAAACUUGAGAUUAUAUUACUUUUACAAAUUUUAAUCCAAUCACAUAUUUAAUGAAAACAAAAUGAGUUAGGAUACUUUAUUUAGAACCCACAUUUUAAUAAGGCUUCAUUUGAUGUAGUUUUUUAAACAGUGAUUAUUUAAGUAAAUUUUCCUCAAUAGAGUUUUUAUCAAACAAAUUUAUUUAUUUAGUUGUCGAUAAGAGUUUUUAUUAAAAAUUAUAAAAUUAUUUAAAUAAACAUGUUUUUUAAAAUUACAUUAUAAAAAUAAUUAAAUAAAAUUAUAAAAGUAAAAUAUAUUUUAGAUAUUUUAAUAUUUAAGAAAAAUUUUCAAUCUCUACUUUCAAAAGCUCAAAUUUUUAGCUUUUAGUUGUAGAGACAAAAUAUUUUAUUUAAUCUUUAAAAGUUAUGCUAAAAACAAUCAAAUAACUACAAAAAUUUUAAUAAGAGUAUAUAAAAUUAAAUGGUAAUUUUUAAAAACCUCCCCUGAGGUUUGGGCUUGUUGCAAGUAGAUGGCGAGAAUCCAUUUAUUUGUAACAAACCCCCUACCGUCAGUUAAUUUUUGCAUUAACCGUUAGUUGACUGUGCAAAGACAAUAUUGUCCCUAAUGACAGUUUGUAGACUGACAUAGCUAAAAAAAAUGCUGAGAUUGUCGGCACGAAAAUCACAAAUAAUUUUUUUUUGACAAUUUUGUCCUUGUUAAUUCCAAGAUUUACAAUGUCAUAAGUAAGGAUUAUGACUAUUUUACCCUCUUAAAAUUAUUGAUAAUUCCUUAAAAUUUCUACAAAAAAGAUAAAAUUAAAAACUUGAAGAAAAAUAAAGUUCUCAAGCCGGCUAACCAAACACAUAGAAUAAAAAAUCCAUCGUUUGACAACAAAAACAACUUUCCAUAAACCCAAACAAAAAUAAACAAGUCCCCAUUACUCUAAUUGGCUUUGCUUGGAGCUGUUACUAUUGUGCAUACAUUUCUAGGCAAAGCAAAAUGACCCCAUGAUAUAAACCUUAUAAAACAUGCCUCCACUAUUCUUAAUUUUGGUAUAAUAAUAAUAAUAAUCACAAAAAAUUAAUUGAAAACUUGACUAAUUAUCUUUGGUGGAGAAUUUUAAACCGAAACCGAUUCAGGAACCUUAAAUUGAUCAAAAGGAAGCUAAUAAUGACAAAAAAGUAACCGAUCAAAAAUCAUUAAGCAUAAAAAAAUAUUGAAUUUAAAUAACUAAAAAUGCCAUCGGAAAUUGAAAUUAAUUAUUUAACAUAUAGCAUGAAAACAAAUCUUCACUAUUGGUGCUAGGCGGCUGUCGUUUAGCUUGGUUCUAAGAGGUGGCAGUCAGUCAACUUCGAGACGGUGCGUUCGAAGUCAACUAAGCUGCAGCAGAGGUUGCAGGGGGCAGAUUGCAGCGAAGUCGCGGUGGAGCAGAGGUCGCGUCGCGGUGGAGAAGAGGUCGCGUUGCGCUGGCUUGGCUUCACGGUGGUGGGAUGGCUGGGCGGGCUGGCCAGCUGUGUGCGCAUUGUAUAUGAUUGUUUUUCACUUUUUUAAUAUUUUCUUGUGCAUUAGUUCAGAUUAGAUUAGUGAGUUUGUGUGUGUGUUUGCAGUUGAUUUGGUUAAGAUAUUUAGGUUAAAAUAAUUUUUUUUAAUAAAUUUUUUUUUUCAAAAUGUCAACAAUGCCCACAACUACCCAAAUGGCAACUAAGCAGAGUAAAAACGUAGGGGUUUUUUUUUAUAAAUAAAUAGAUUCUCGUCAUCUAUUUGCAACAAACUCAAAUCUCGGGGGAGGUUUUUAAAAAUUACCCUAAAAUUAAAUAAGCAUUUAUUAAUAAUCACUUUGGUAUACUUAUCUAAUGACCAUAAGUGUUUAUUUAAUCUCAUAAGUUCUUAUUUAAUCUCAUGAGCUCUUUUCAAUUUUUUUUGUUGUUUGUUUUUUAGUAGAGUUUUUGAAAAUUAAAUAAACUAUUUUGUCUCUACUAGAAAAAACUCAAAUUUUAGAUUUUUGUGAGUAAAUGUUUAAUUUUUUAAAAAAAUAUUAAAAUAUCUAAGAUAUCUUUCCUUUAUUUCAUAAUCUUAUUUCAUUUUUUCAUAACAUAACUUUCAAUAACUUACCUAUUAAAAUAAUUUCACAAUUUCUAAUAAAAACUCUAAUUGACAAUUAACAAUUUUUUUUUGUUUGUAAAAACUCUAUUUAUAAAAAAUCUAAUAAAAAUUCUAUUUAAAUAAAUUAUAUUUGAAAAGGUGUACUAAACCAACCUAAGAUAAAAACAAAAAUUUUUACAUCCAGACAAUUAAGCUUAAAACAAUUUCAAAUGAAUUUUAGACUAAUCAAAGUACAAUACGUACCAAGUUUGGUAACUUAUUGACAUCUUCUCAUAUAACCUUCGAUCAAGUCGAUUCUCACCUGACGACUAAUUGGUACAUCACCGUUGUUCUCUAUACUCGCAUGCAUCCGAUCACAAAUCUCACUCCAAUUGUCGUCUUUCUUCGGCGUUUUAGCACAUCCUUCUUGAAUUUCCCGCAUUUCGUUCCCUCCUGUUACAAGUCUCCGGUCAGGUCAGUUCUCUUGACGAUUAAUUCGGCAAAUCUCGAAUCUCUUCUCGCGUCGUUUCACUUCAAUUUUUUGUGUCUCCUUUCAGUUUUAGUGAUUGAAUCAAUUUUAUUGCAGUCUGAGAGAAAUUAAGUAAUGCUCUUGGAUUUAAAUUUUUUUUGCUUUCGACUUUAGAUCUCGAAAGUCAAACUCUGCUACGAAUCCUUAGAUUCUCAAUGUUUAUAAUCUUAUUUGUGUUUGACCAGGUAACUGGAUCGUGAAAUUCGUCGUUUUGUAUCAAUUCAAGCUUUCGCGAGCUCAUGGAAUCACCUGGUGAGUUGUGGUGAAACGUUAUCGUUUCAAUUUUCGCUUAAUUCUUUAUUGCAUAUUUUUUCUCUAACAUUUCAGUUUAAUUUAGAAAAGAAAGAGGACCCAAAAAGAGAGAGAGAGAGAGAGACUCUACCAUACUCAAUUCCUUGCUCAUUCUGAUUUGGCCUGAAUGUUGGCAUUGACUAUUAUUUGUUUUCAUUUCGAUUUAAUUCUCAUUUAGACAGUCUUUACUAACGGUCAAUAAUAGUUUAAGGAAAAUGAUAAUAGGGAUUCUGCAAUAAUCUUUUUAAGGAAAAUGAUAAUAGGGAUUCUGCAAUAAUCUUUUUAAGGGAUGUAUAACUUAUUAAUCAGAGUCCUGUUAUUAUGGUUUGACACUACUGACAUAUUGUGUUGGUAUUUAUUUGUACUUCCCUUGGUUGAAUUAUUUGCUGUCCCCAUGCCAUUCGAUAUGGUGCUACUUGGUUUUUGAUCAUCCAUGACGCUAUAUAUAUGUAAAGGAUGAAUUGAUUGUUUUGGCUUGUAUUCUCACAUUUUAUGAUUGAUCGAUGGAAAGGUCUUCAUGUAUUAAAUUCAACCUCACAAGCGUAAGAUUGACAGAUUCUGGGCAAAUUUUCAGGAAAAGAAACUAGACUUCAUGGAAGCAAUGAAGCUUGAAAUUGAACGUCUGCAGCUGAAAGGGAUAGAGCUUUAUUGUCAAUUGGAACUGAUCCUGCCUCUAUAAAUCCAAAUGUAUUGCUUGAUGAAUCUUACAUGGGAAGACUGUCGAGUAGCAACCACUCUUGCAUUACUUGGCCAAACUUCCCUAGAAGACAAAAUUGUUGGUGCAAUGGCCUUGAGAAUAGUGAUGAUAGUGUUUUAGACUUCUGGAAUAUUACUAGAAUCGGAGAGAGUUGUUCUGGUGGCGCGUGCAAGGUUCGUGCAGAAACUAAGGUGCCUGCUCUUGCUUCCUCAACUGCAGCAUCUGUUGGAGCUUCACAAUCCCCUUUGUUGUGUUCUCUGUUGUGUUCUCUGUUGUGUUCUCAAUGUGAAAGAAAAGUUUGCAAAGUUUGUUGUGCAGGAAGAGGAGCUCUACUGUUUUCAAAUUAUAAAUCAAGGGAUGUGACCAACUACAAUGGCUUCUCAAGUCAGAGUGGAUCAAGCCAUGGAAGCCAAGUUGAUGUAUCUACCAGUCGUUCACUAACACUGGAUGGCGUUAUCUGUAAACACUGCUGCCAUGAGAUUGUGCUUGAUACAAGUUCACAACACCAUUACAAAGGAUUCAAAAUUCCCACACGAAAACAUCAAUGUACAGAUUAUAAACAAUCCGAAUUGGACACAAGAAAAACCCUUCAAUGGAUUGCUUGCCUUCCCAAUGCUAUAUACUGUGCAAACUGCGCACUGUCCAAGAAAAUGUUUUCAAUUUAGUGUAUUUUCAAAAUGCUUAUUUUCUCAGAAUAUAUAAAAAAAAAAAAAGAAUUCUUACAUGUUUCAUCAGCAUGAUUAAAAUCAAAGAAGAAAGCGAGACAUAAUGUCUCUGACAUAAUAAAAUUACAAAAAUUUAAAAAAAAAAAAGUUAAAACAUGUAAUCUUCAUAAGCAUAUAAUAAAAUAACACUUCCACAAAUUACUACAAUUUCAUGCAGUAGAGAUUGAAGAGUUGAAUUCCACUUAUAGACACCGACCUCUUAUUUUGUCUAAUGUUAACAAUGAAAAUAACAACAGUAAUGAAAACAACAACAGAAUACAACAACAGAAAACAACAAUCCGCUCUGCAAAUUCUCUUGGGACUUGGUUCCAAUUCCUCUUCAUCCGAAGUUCCACUCGAAUCAAAUUCACUUGCAGCAGUUCCACUCGCGCUUGGCAAAUCAUCCAAUUUCCAAACUUCGGUAGCAAAAUUGAGAGUAAAAGUGUUGGCUUUGGUCUCGCUGGGAUUUGCAUAUACUGGACAUACUCCGUAACGUUUUACCUUGUGACCCUUUUGGUUUUGGUAACAAUUAUUGAAGAACUUAAGUGAGACAGUUGUAUGAUGGUAACCAUCAGGAAAGCCAACAUUCAAGCAAGGUUUAAAACCAAGUAUGACAUGAUCUGAAUCAAGGGAGUAUUUAUUUCUAACACUUGUGGUUGCGGGCCCACUGAAACCUAGAUCAACAUGUUUGGUUUCAGAGAGAGUCUUUAUUUCUAAGUCGAGUUGAGAGCGGCCGAAAACAUUGCAGCAAUAACAAGAACCAACUUUCUUAAAAUUAAGAACCGCACAAAAAGCAAACCCGAUUAAGUUUCUGCAAGAAGAGUGCGGUGGCAGUUGAAUACCUAUCGAAGAUCCUGAACUUUGAUUGUUGAACCAGUCAGGAAUUUCGCUCCCAGGUAAAACAAUUAGGGAUGUCCUGAGUUCAGAAAGUUUCUGUGAAAUGACAUUUAAAAAAAGAAAAUUGUAAAAUGAAAACCAUGAUUUCAGAUAUAACAAAGAGGGACAGAGUAAACAAGAGAGGGAACUUGAUGCGUUCUAAAUGUUCCAUUUUCUCCAAGAUUUCUGGGAAACGCUCAAGGUUCAAGCAGCCAUGAAGAAAAAGCUCAACCAAAGAUUUCAAUUUACAAAACCUAGUUGAAAUCCUCUUCAGCCGUUCGCAAUCCCUCAAAUCCAACUUUUCAAGAUCAGUUAGGCACUCUAUUGAUGAUGGAACUUCUUCUAUUGCAGACUGGCUUAAGUAUAGCCGUGUAAUUUUCCCAGAAAUCUGUGGAAACUCUACGAGAUUAACACAAUAGGAGAAAUUAAUAGUUACUGGACAAACAAAAUGAAGAUUGCUUGGAAAAGACCUAAGACUUUUGCAGCCCACAAAAUCCAACCUACUGAGAUACUUGAAAUUCUGGAUAGAUGAGGGAACACAAGCCAUUUCUCCUUCCCAAAUUUGCUCAACUUUACUAAAACGCAAAUUCAGUCCAACAAGGUUCUUUGGCUUGAAAUUUGAUGGCAGUGUCCUUAAUGGAUAUGUGUCCCAAUGAAGAUAUCUCAAUUUUUUAGGAAGAUAAUCUAGGCCAUUUGGAAGCUGCACUUUAGAGUACGAAAGUUGCUCUUCAAUGCUCAUACUUAGAAGCUUUUCAAUCUCAUACUUAGGUACAUAAAAUUUGAGCAAUCUCAGAUUAGACAUAUUUGUGAAGGCUCCGGGGUCUAAAUUGAUGCCUUUUAUUUUGGACAAAUCCAAAAAUAUGCCUUCAAUUGCAUCGGUCCCCUUAUUAAAAAAAAAAAAAAAACAAAGAAUGGGUAAGCCUAAAACAGAAAAGAAACAUUCGUAAACUUUAUUAACUAAGAGCUCCUAAAACAAAACAAAUUCUACGAUCUUUGAUCUUAUUUUUUUAAUAUAUUAAAUAUCUAUAUGCGAGAAAAGAAAAUUUUGGGAACCAUUGCAAAAUUAAACUAACCGAAAAAAAAAAUCAAAAUUUCUCUAAUUUACAAACCUGUUAUCUUACUAUCUAGAAGUUGAGAAGACAGGGCCUAUUUGAUUGGUAUAAGAUUUCGAUUUUUUUUUUAGUCCAUAGAAUCCAAAAUGUUAGUUCAAAAUUAGGGAAAAAAAUGAAAGUUAUUUUUUUUCCACUAGUUGUAAUUGUAUCCAAGUCAAAUUGAGAUAUGACCCUUUUCGAAAGGAUUUAAUCAUCUUAUAGCCUCCUUAAAGGAGUGAUUGGAGGCCUAACUAGGUAGGCCAAUCAGUCCAUUUUAUUAGCGACUAUUGCUUAAAAACAUUUAUACUCUAAAACACACUUACUUUUUUGAAAAAAAAAUAUAAUUAUAUUGAAGUAGAACCAGGUGGGCCAAUCCUCAUGGCACUCACUUUGUUCUGACACUCUUCACUAAAUUUGAAAAAAAAUAAAAUUAUACUCUUCACACUCUUAUUCAACAUUCCAAAAUUGAUAAAAUCUGGAGUUUUCAUUAAAAAUUUAAAAUUUGAAGACUUGUUCUCUUGACACCCUCAGUCAUUAAUUUUACCUAAUUAUGGUUUUUAUGAUUUUGGUUGUUUUGUUCAUAAAAAUGAUUUUACUAAAGGAUGUUCUGGUAAUAAUAAAAUUUAUAAAAAAAAACAUGGUUGUGCUGGUAUGAUUGGAAAAAUAUGAGUGCAUAACUCCAAACAAAUAAAAGAUAUAUAAAAAAAAAUGGAGGAUUCUUACCAUAUUAUGCUUUAGUACGCGGCGGAUUUCCUUAGGAUCCCACAACCUCUUGCGUUUGCCUGGCUCUUUCUCAGAUUCUUGGCGUCGCCCCAUUUCUUGCAAUAUAUCAUGCAUUUGCAAGCGGUUAUAUGACACUGUUAUGAGUGACUUAUCAACAAGGACAUCCAGUCCAACAGACUCAGAAUCAUCAAGAAUCCUUGCCACAAAAUCUUUAUCCUCUCCCUCAAAGAAACACGCAAUAUCUAGAAAUAUGCUCUGCACCCUGGGCGUUAAUUCAUCAAAACUAAUCUUUAAUUUCUUAUAAAUAGCAUGAAUAUCAGAUUCACAAAUCCGAUUUAAGUCGUGCAAUACUUUUCCCCAAUGGCUUUUCCCCUUGAGGGAGGAACCCAACACUUUAAGAACUAAUGGAUUGCCAUCAGCAUACUUUACAACUCUCCGUGAGUCAGGUUUGAAAUCUUCAGGACAAUGCUUUUCUUUAAAAGCGAAGUUACAAAAAUGCUCGAAAGCCUCAUGAAAAUCCAUUCCAUUAACCCUAUAUAUUUUCUUCUCCUCCACUCCAAAUUUUUCGAGGACUCCUUUAUCCCUAGUGGUUACAACAAUUCUACUUCCUGGAACAAAUUGAUCAAGCUCUCCAAUCAGACCCUCUAAUUGUCCAACUUCAUUCACAUCAUCGAGUACUAUCAACACCUUCAUACGCCGGACCCUCUCUUUAGUAAAAUGUGGAAUAUUGGCACCAGCUACUUCAAGUUUUUCGCUUAAUAUUGUUGAAAGCAUUUCCUUUUGUAGGUCUUCUAGGCCACCCUCUGUUUCUGAUUUUCUCCUAACAUUUUUUGCAAAGUAUUUACCAUCAAACUCACCAGAGAAUUGAUUGAAAAUAGCUUCAGCAAGGGUGGUUUUGCCGAUACCACCCAUGCCCCAAAUUCCAACAAUUUGGACAGUAUCCGACAAAUCCAUACACAAAAAUGGUUUAAUCUGCUCAAUUCGUGAAUUUAAUCCAACUAGGCCGUUGGAUGAGUCCGUUGAGACUGUUAUUUUUUCCAACUUCUUCAAAACAUCUUCGACAAUUUUGUUUACAAGUUCCGCAUCGUGCCUAAUAUAAAGGUGCAAAGAUGCAAAAACAUUGAGUCAAAUCGGGCCAACACAGAAACAGAGAUAAGAUGAAUUAGGAAAGAGAGUUACCUGAAUUUCGUGGAUUCGUGGCCAGCAAGACCGGAUGUUUCUCUCAGUGCAUCCCUCCACCUCUGAACCAUUUCUGGCUUCUCUUUGAACUGUUGUUCGAGCUUACCAAAGCCGACCCCAAAAAUCCCAGUUUGAUGCCGCACAUCGGACGGACUUACGCCAUAGAAAACCGGAAUAAUGAUUUGGCCGUUUGUGUGCUUGCAUUCAAGAAUCUCGACAAGUUCAUACAGGCACCAUUUUGAAGAAGCGUAGUCCGUUGAGAAAAUGACCACCGAAAUUUUUGAACCUUGGAUUGCGUUCAAAAGGGCAGGUGAAAUCUCAUCUCCGCGCCUAAGCUCUUCAUCAUCAAUAAAUGUUCUGAUUUUCUUUCUUUUAGACAAAGCAUCAUAGAGAUGGCAAGUAAAGAUCGCACGAGUGUCCUCCCCUCUAAAAUUGAGGAAGACUUCAUAAAUGCAAGGAGAAGAAGCCAUGAAGGAAAUAUUAGAAAUUUGGUGACAGAAACAGAGAAUUAAUCUUGAGAGCUGAGAGAGGAGAUGUAAGAAUGAACAUGUGUGAAUAUUCUUGCGAGUACAUAGUAAAUAAUUGAAUGGCUCGAGCUUUCUUAGUUUCCUGGAAAUUUCCUGGAGCUUUCGUAUACAUGAUUUGUCAAGUCAAGAAACAUAGUCAUGAUAAUGGGGCAGACCAGGAAGAAAAGGAAAUUGGAAUUUUGUACAAUUUCUCCAGCGAGGAACUUUCACUGUCAUUACCUCACCGUUACAGUUUGGAUUAGGGUAAUUUUUACCCCGCACCCAAAUGUUUUGACAUACAGCACAACGCACCCAAUUCUUUUGCCCAUGAGCACCGCGCACCCAUUUCCGUUUAUUUUUCAGUUAACUGUAACAGAUCAGGGUAAAAUUGGAAUAACGCAUCAAAAUUUAAAAAUAAAAAAAUAGGUAAACUCGAUGUUUGCGCCAAAAUAAUUUCACAUCACUGUGCUUAUGUUCACUGCGUUUGCGUGUGAGACCAAGAAGCAUGGCCACACCUCCAUUGAUGCCAAAAUCGAGGAGGUGGGUGAAGAAGAAUUGGCGCCAAAAUCAUUCACAUAUGAUGUGCAAGGAAAUUAUUUCAGCCUUUAAAUACUUUUUUAUUACAGCAGCAUCAGCUAUUGCUCUGUUUCGAAGAUCUGCUCAAUUUCUAAGACAAUAGUUGGUUUGAGAGUUUAAGGGAAGUGAAUCCACUGAGCGUGCUAUUGAAGAAGUGGAGGUCAGUUUCAUUUCUUGCUCAAUUGUUUUAAUUUAUUCCAUUUUGUUUGCAUGUCAAUUAUUUACACAUUUUUAGCUGGAUUUUGCUUAUCUAUAAAACUUGAAUCAUUGUUAAUCAAAUCAGCUAUAAUUUACGCCUCAAUGUGGUUUGUAAGUUUAAGUUAUGUUGGAUUAUACCUGAAUAAUGUGGUGUUUGCGUUAUUGAUUUCAAUUUCUAUUGAUGAUUUUGAGUAUACAUAUUAGUGGAUGAAAGUUUUUAAUUAGGAUGAUUGGUCACGCAUAUAUGUCAUAGCAACUGUGUUUUUUUGGGUUAUGGUUGUACUGUAGAUCAGUAGUAGUAGUGAUUUGGAUAUAAACGCUAGUGCUUUUAUUGUAAAUGAUAGUGAUGAAGAUCCAGUGUUACAGAAUUUGAUGUAAAAGUUAUUGGUUUUUGGCUAAAUAUCUUAGAUAAAUAUGAUGCUCAUGCAAUCAAAUCCAAUGCUUAUGCAAUUUACACCAUGUUUAUGAUAAGUAAUUAAAAAAAUAAAUGACUAUUCCAGGUGAAAAUGGAUGAUGAUGAUAUUACAACUGUUCUUUGUACAUUCAAGGGCAAGACAUAUAAUGUUGGUGUAAUUGAUCCAGAUAAGUUUAGUAGAGUUUCUGUAAUUAACAAGGUUUUAGUUAGAGUCUAUGGAAGAAAGAUGAGGCCUGAUGAGAAGUUUACACUAAGUGUUUGGGUACCAUGGGUCUAUAAGGAAGUAGAGAUUAUGUCUGAUCAUGACUUAAUAUUCCAGCUGAGAGAGCAUAAUAAGAUGUUGUUCUACUGCAUGCAAUUGUAUAUUGAAGAAAUCCAUGUACCUCAUGAGUUUGUACCUAGAAGGGCUUUGUUUCAGCACUCAGCAGAAGAAAGCUUACAAGGGUAUGCUGAAACAAACUUUCCAGCCACUACUGACCUGCACAAACCUUAUACACAUGCUACAUCCACCAACACAAAUCCUUAUGAAAAUGACAGUAAUGACCAUUCGAACCAUGAACCCCCUGUCAAGAACUCCAGCAGCAUAAUGAUGCAUAAUGUUGCACUUGAUAGCAUCCAAUCACAGACCAAACCAGAUACCAACCCUGACCUAUAUCAAGACUUUUUGGAUACCUAUUUCAGAUCAUCACCACAACAGAAAACACCAUCAGCUGCCCAAACUAAUGCCGAAAAUAGUGAUAGUGAUAACACAUCUUCAUUUGGUACAAAUAAGACUCCUACUGAGCAGCUUCAACAAAACUUUGCCAUCUCUUCUGAGUUGUCCCCUUUAUUGCAGCAACAUGGACAUCAUGCAUCCCAAAAUGAACCUAUACCUUUUCACCAACCUGAGUUCUCAUCUCAACCAAUAACUCAAAACCCUCAGUCACAAGUUGUACAAGCAGAAAACUUCCAGCAACCAGAAGCCACUACACCAGCACUAGUAGAUUAUAACUCAGAUGAUAGCCAUUAUAGUGUAACUGAUAGUGAGGAAGAUCCAGAUCAUCCAUUAGGUGCUCCAAACAUUAAUAAUACUCCUAGGAAACCUUCUGUUAAUGUUGACUUAGGCUCUAUGCCUUCUGAUGAUAGUGAUGAAGAUUGUAUGCUAUCUGAUUGUGAGAGUGAUGACAAUGAGUUUGGGGAAGAAUCUGAUGAAGAGAUUGAUCAAGUGCUGGUCAGAAUGGAUGCUGUUAUGAGAGAGAACAUGUACAUUCCUAGUGAUACACCUGUUCAAUUCUUUAUUGGGCAGUGUUUUAGGAACUUCAGGCAGCUGGCAUGGGCAAUAAGGACUUAUGCUGUGGAAAACAAGUUCAAGGUUUAUAAGCACAAGUUUGAAAAAUCCAGAGUAACUGUUGGAUGUAAUUAUUUCAGGUGCCCAUGGUUUUUACAUGUUGCAAAAACUAGAUUUGGACAAACCUUUAUUGUUAGGAGGCUUCACAACGUACAUACAUGUCAGAGAGACUUAAAGAAUCCUGAAUGCACUGCAGAGUUCAUUGUUGCCAAGUUUGCUGCAACUAUAAUUGAGCAUCCAGAUACAAAGGUUGGGUGGAUUCAAAGUGAACUUAGAAGGAUGUAUGGAGCUAAGAUACACAAGUAUAAAAUUUAUAGAGCAAAGAAGAAGGUUUUACAGAGACAAUGAGCUGAUUAUGAGUCUAGUUACAUGUUGAUCAGAAAUUAUGCUCAGGCCAUACUUACUAAGAUGCCACAGGCCUUGGCAUUGGUUAAGGUUUUCAGGAUGCAUGGUCAACAACCUCAAACUCACUUUGACAGCACUGUUAUAUCUUUCCAUGCCCUCAGAGAUGGCUUCAACCAAGGUUGUAGACCCUUCAUUGGUAUUGAUGGAUGCCAUUUGAAGGGUCCAUAUAAGGGUGUUCUUUUAUCAGCAGUUGCUAUUGAUGCCAACAAUGGAAUCUUCCCACUUGCAUUUUGUGUAUGUAGUGUCGAGAGUACAACCAGCUGGACAUGGUUUCUAAGCCACUUUAGGGAAUUUUUACAAGAUACAAGACAACUGACCUUUAUGUGUGAUAGGCAGAAAGGAAUUCAGAAUGCUCUUGCCUUAGAGUUUCCUAAUGCACAUGUUAGAUUCUGUGCUAGACACAUCUUAGCAAAUAUUAAGUUAAAACAUCCUCAAUCUGACUUUAAAGCAUAUUUCUGGGCAGCAGCAAGAGCAUCAAACAGAAGGGCAUUUGAUGAUGCUAUGCAAAACAUAAGAGCAGCACAUGAGGGUGUAUAUGAGACUCUUAGGAGGAUACCACCAAAUUUCUGGUCAAGGCAUGCCUUUGACAAUAAUUGCAAGUCUGAUCAUUGCACUAACAACGUAACUGAAUCUUUUAAUGCAUGGAUUGGGAUUCAAAGAAAGUUGCCAAUAAUCUCAAUGCUGGAGUGGAUUAGGAAGAAGCUGAUGAAAAGAAUGAUUGGAAGAAGAAAUAAGGCAGAGUCUUGGGACAGUGAUAUACCAAGAAGAAUUUAUGCACAAAUGAUGAAGAAUUUACAGAUUGGCAGUGCAAACCCUAUCUGUAGAGCUAGUAAAUGGCUUUAUGAAGUGGAUGAAAAUACCAAGACUUAUAUCGUUGAUCUUGAACACCAUAUGUGUGACUGCGGACAAUGGCAAGUUAGUGGGAUUCCAUGUGUACAUGCAAUGCCUUGUAUUGUGAAUAGUCAAAAAGAUCAAGCUCAGUUCAUUAGCCAAUGGUUGAAGAAAGAUACUUACCUAAGGUGUUAUUCUGGAUUGAUUAAACCAAUUCCAGAUAGAACGUCAUGGGUAGAUGCUGGUGGUGAUGAAAUACUGCCCCCUUUAGUGAGAAGACCACCUGGACGACCUAAGAUGACAAGAAGAAGAGAAGCUGAUGAGGUACCAGCACAUAAUAAACGAUACAAGAUGCAAUGCACUAUUUGCAAGGGAUUUGGACACAACAGAAGGGGUUGUCCUGUUAACCCUCAUAAUGCUCACAAGACAACAAGACAAUAUAAGGUGAGUGUGUAUGCUUGUAAGAGAAUAUUCAAUUAUUUUUUGAACCAUGUUCCUCCCAUGUGAUGACAGCUAAUGUGCCUUGUUUGUUUGUGCUUUUUUAUAGAAUAACCUGAAGAAGCACGUGACAAGGACAAAUGGGGAGCAAAGUGAAGGUAUAAGAGUAAUUUACUAAGUUAUAUUACUAUAUUACUUUACAGCUGUAUUAGAUAAUUAUAUAGUUGUGUAUCACCAAACUAUAUUAAAUUAACUUAUUUAUUUAACGUUGCUUUAUUGGUAAUUUAUAAGGCCAAGUUCACGGAAUUACCUCAACUAUUUUGGAAAGCCAAGACAAUGACAUGGUCCAAGUAACUGUCUCAGGCCAAAACAUAACAAAGAACCAGCAGACUGCAUCUAACAAACGCAAGAUUGGCAAUCAAGCAGGGCCAUCAAAAGCAAAUGAAGUCAUUGGCAAGAGCAUGAAUGGGGUCAUAUCUGUAGCUCCAUGGGUAGGUGAACAGGGAAGAAAAGUAAUGUCAGCCGCUGGAUUAACCUUCAGCAAAGAGGAUGAAGUCGGCAACUAUACUGAAAUGAAGCAUUUGGACAAAGGGAAGGCACCAGCCUUCCCUUCGUAAAGGGUAAAACCAUAGUUUUCUAUUGAUAUAAAUUAAUAUUGGUUUUGGAAAUGAUAUUUAUAAUUUGUAACUUGUUUUGUAGUGAUUCUUUGGCUAUGAUGGAGACAUUGGCAGCAAACUUAUUAACAAACAGUGGAGGCAACAUUAUCAUUUUUUGACACCUUCCACAAUGCCACAUCAACCCACCAGGCACAAGGUUAAGGUUAUCUGGAUGCUGAUUUCAUUAGGAUCAAGUGGCCAAGUAAUGACCAGGCAUGUCAUUGUUUUCUUUUUCUUUUUUAUUUUGGAGCUGAAAUUGGUGGAAGUUGUUGGACAUUAAGCUUAAGCAUUAUAGAGCUGGAAGCUGUGAUGACCUACUAUAAGUAUGAUUGGAAGGGUUUAUGGCAUUUUGAAAGUUUUUGGGAUUAAGAUACAUAUAGGACUGAUAUCAACCAAACCAACACUUUUUUUUUUUGUUUUUUGGUCACAUGUAUGUAAACACCAGAUUGGAUGUGACUAACAUUGUAAGUUGCUGCCAAUAUGCAUUUAUAGAUAAAAUAACUUAUUGCUAUUAUUGAUAUCAUAUUUGAUUAAAUGGUAUAUGUCAAGAAACGAAUGCAUUUUAUUGAUCAUAAGAUUUCAUUUUACACAUUGUUCUAGCAUUCCUUACAGUACAAUACAAGCAAUACAAGUAUAGUUAUCACUAUAAUCGUGAUUUGAUACUUCUUAUUUUUAUGAAGUAAACCUUCAAUAUUGAUGAACCUGUUGUGGAAGUCCUCAAUGUUAAAUUGUUGAAUCUCACUUGCCCUGUCUGCAGCUUCUUCUUCAAACCUUUGUAACGCUGCUUCAAUUUCUAUAGCCUCACCUGUAGAUGGUUUCCACCAUCUAAAGAAACCACAAGAUGGGUCAUUAGGGCAUGUGUAAUAUAGUUUGUUGGGGUUUGUUUUUGAUUCUGACACUUUGAUUUCUGCCCUUCUUCGACAGUAGCAUACUGUGUUAUAGAACUUGAUGAUGCCCCCAUUGAUUUUAGGUAAAUCCCUUCUUCUGUUAUAAGUUGAUGAACUUGAUGCAUUCCUUGAAGUGGACAUUUUCUUCAAAUUUCCAAUGUCGUGUCUGUUAUAUUCUUUUUGAAAUACAGCACAACGUAUCUGAACUUCAAGUUGUUGUGCUUGUUUUGUGUGUGAAUGAAGCUGCUGUUGAAGUUGUAUUGUUUCGGUGGGUAAAACCAAAUGUUGUACUACUGUAAGUUGUUGCUGAGUAAAAAAAAUGGUGGAGUUUCCAGGUGAGUCAAUGAAAAUCACUGAGGUGUGAAGAGGGUAGGAAUUUAUAUGUGUUAAACAUCACAGCUUGUGGUGAUGCAUCAGCUCAAAUUUAUCAAUUUCUUUUACUGUUCUUGUAACCAUAUAGCCGUUAUUACUGUUGCUCAGAUUUUAUAGCCGUUGGAUUUUUGAUGCGCAUGGUAAUAAACCAAUAUGCUAAGGGCAAUAUAGUCAAUAUAAUUUAACAGUUAUAGUUGGUCUUCGUGUGUAAAUACACCUUUAAAUAAUGGCCAGUGGUAAAUUCCUUAGUUCAAUGACUCACCUGGAUGCAUUUGAAUUCAACGCAAGGGUAUAUUUGUCAUUUAAUCAAAAUAUAGACUGAUCCGUUACAAUUAACUAAAAAAUAAACAGAAAUGGGUGCGCGGUGCUCAUAGGCAAAAGAAUUGGGUGCGUUGUGCUGUAUGUCAAAACAUUUGGGUGCGGGGUAAAAAUUACCCUUUGGAUUAUGAUUUGAGGGUGCAAGUAUUUACCUAGAGUUUACCUCCGCACUAAAUUCUUAAGUUUUGAAAAUUAUGAGACCUUUAUAUUGGGAGAUAUUGUAAUCGAAUCAAAACUUAAAUUUUUUAUAAUGUUAAUAUUUAAUCUUUUAAAAAACAAUAACCUCGCCGUUACAGUUUGGAUUAAGAUUUGAGUAAGUAUUUACCUAAAUUUUACCUCCGUCUGUAAAUUCUUAAGUUUUGAAAAUUAUGAGACCUUUAUAAUCGAAUCAAAAUUUUGAAUUUCAAUAUUAUUAUUCUUUAAAAAAAAUUUUGAGAUAACAGAGUGAUUGAUAAUAUAGGAGAACUUGUCUAGGCAAGCACAUGUAUACACAGAAACGUGAUGGAUUCAAAAAGAAAUUAAAGUGAUAAUGCGAAAUCGCUUGGUGGCCCAGUAAAAUUACGACUGAAUUUUUUUUUUUUUUUUUACAAAAUUCAAGCUCAUAAAUGACAAAUUUCAUUUCCCUUUCACACGUCAUUAACUUUUGUAACAUGGUGUGUGCAUCGUCAAGUGAGGCAAAAGGGUUUCAAUUACAGUUGGAAAACAUGAACAAGAAUGCAUAAUGAAUAAUUCCUUCGAUAAACCGAAAAUUAAGCACAGAAUAAUCCUAAAAUUUAAACUCUAAUAUCUUAUAAUGUAUUGAUUAAAAAUAAUCCUAAGAGCUCCCAAUUGAAACUUUCAUAAGUAUUUUAAUUGUUUUGGAUAAACAAAUUGCACUAGGAUAAAAAUUUGGCAAAUUCAGAGGAUAAUGGAAAAUAGUUAUGCUUCAAUAGGCCAAAGAUUAGAGAACAAAUAAGAAUUAUUUAUUGAUAUACAAAAGAGAAACACUCCAAAAUUUCAAGCAAAAAUAGUUUCAUAUAUCAUUUCGAUUUUGAAAGGGAUGAGAUUUUGAACUUCAAUAGUUUCCUCUAAAAUUAAAAGGUAGCAAUUAAGCUAAAAAGAGCAAUGAAGACUUAUUGGUACCUUAUUAAAGGUAAACAUUAUGGAACUUUCAAUGUCAUUAUCUCACUGUUCAAUUUUUAUUGAGAUUUGUGUAAGCAUUUACCUAAAUCUUACCUCCGCCUUUAAAUUCAUAAGUUUUGAUUAAUUAUGAGACCUUAUAUUGGGAGAUAUUAUAAUCAAACUAAAACUUAAAAUUUCAAUAUCAUUAUUCUUUAAAAAGAAAUUGAGAUAUCAGAGUAAUAUCACAUAGAAAAACUUGCCCACGGACGGUAAGCCAAAAGUCUAGUCAACCACACGCAUAAAGCUAACUAGAACAAGAGAACAGAGAAACGCGUGGGUCCCUAAAAGAAAAGGCAAGCACAUAAAUAACUUUCAAAAUGCCCAAGCAAAUACCGAUGAAAAUCACUGUUUAAGAAUAAUUUAUUAUGUGGUUGAAGCUUUCUUUUUAUCAAUCUUCUUUCUACCCAUUAAUUUUCCCACGACUUUCCCGUUUCAUUUCUUGAAUCUCCAUGGAUUAACUUUCAAUAAACCAUAAAAUAAACUAAGGAAUCAUUUUCUCGAAUACAGCUAUGAUUUUAAUAAAUGGGCGGACCAUCUAGAAUAGUAUAUAUAAUUCUGUUUAAUUAAUAAGUUGAAAAAACCAUCAAGAGAAAUUCUAAUAUUAUGAGCUUGACACGAAUUCUUCACUAAUUCCAAAACAAGGAGCUGUUUUAUAAGAACUGUGGUUGGAUUAUUAAGUUUUACAAUUUGAAUAUAAAUAAGAAAAUAAAAUCAGUCGCGUUGAUGUUUUCGAUACAUUUCGCUGCUAACUUUUUUUUUUUUUUUAUUACAUGAGACUAUUGCUCAAAUUACAACUCAUAUUACAUGAGAAUAUAACUGAUAUUUACAAAUCAGACUAUAACUGGGACCAAUAUACAUCAAUACUAAUGGAGCGCUGCCCAGAUUUUAACCCUCUCAAAUAUUCAAGGGAUGUCUACACCUCACACUUGGGUAAGGAAACAGACUGUCUUCACUUAAAUUUACUUGAGGAAUGAAGACCCCCACAAUACAUUGUGGGGGUUCACCACUCGACCAAAGGCCGAGUGGCUCAUUUCGCUGCUAACUUAAUUAAUUACUUUACUUCAACUUUAUUUCCUUAGGGGCACUUUAUGGUGGGUCCAAGAUGGGACCUACAAUAAUCAAUCCUAAAAUUUAGUAUGGUUACCAAAUAGCUAGUAGCUAGUGUUAUUUUGUGUUUGGUGGAAGAGAUUGAAUAUUUAGUUUUAACUUAACCAUUCAACUAAUUAGAAAAUAAAUAAAAUUAAAUGAAAUGUUUAGAUAUCAAUUUAAAUAUUAAUAUCGGGGAUAUAAAUUAGUUAUAAUAUAGUUCAUUACAUAAAAUUGAUUAAAUUAAUAAUUACCCGUGAACAUAGAUGUAUAUGCUUUCCAAUUUCCAAAGUGCUCAAAGCACUUUUCUCACCAAACUUUCCUCUGAAUUUCCCGUAGCUGACUCCUUUGUUUGCGUUUUGUGAAAUUUCUAGGAACUUUUUUCGAUUUAGAAUAUUGUACAUUUUUCUUUUCAGCUGAGAUUAAUUUAACUUAUAGAAAAUCUUAUCCUUUUUUAAUAUUAUUUAAAUAAAAUUUGUCUAUCUUUUAUUUUAUUAGUCUACUUUUUACCCAUUAAUUAAGACUUUUCAAUUUCUUUUUUACCUGAGGUUUUCAGUGACUAUCUUUCAAUAAACCAUAAAAAUUACUUAGUCAUUUAUCGAACAAUUAGAUGACCAUAUUUCAAAAUAUCAACUAGAAGUUGUCCUGAAAUAUUUAAUUAAUAGUUGAAGAAUUGUGAUUAGUGUGGGCAUCUACAUAAAAAUUAUAUUAAAACACCGCUAAAAGAUAAAAAUAAAAUAAAAUAGUACAAACAUACACCCAUAGGUUAAAACAAAGAAAAAACACGAACCAAUACACUAAAAUGUUUUAGCUGUAGUUAGUUUUCAGUUUCAUUACUUAAGUCCCACGUGCAUGUCACGUGACUGAGGUCAAAAAAUGAUUGUCACAUUAAAGUUCAAAAUACGGAGCAGGGUAAUUAAGGAGUGGAGCUAUUGGCACCCCUCCAUUAUUCUUACAAAACUCCACUUUAAAUCAAAAUAUAAUUAAGAAUAAUUGAAAAUUAAACACUUAUAGAUUUCUUUACAACAUGUUGAGUGAUAAAAAAGCACCAGUCGGGCAUGUCCCCAUUUCUUACCCGGUGCCGAAUCUCCACGGUCGAAUGGUAUGAGUAGACUCUUGGUGAUGUCUUCUAUGUGGAGCACGUAACAACAGACCAGGAACUAGUACCAACCAAAAACGAGUACUGAUCGAAACAAGCAUGACCAGAAACGCAUACCGACCAGAGACUUGUGGGUCCGUAAAAGAAAAGGCAAGCACACAAAUGAAAAAGCCAUUACAUUUCUAUUUUACAUGUCAUUCCUAAUUUUUGUAACACGAUGUGGCAGCAUAUGCACAAUCAAAUGAGGCAAAAGGGAUUCGACUAUCGUGGCAGAACAUGGACGAGGACGCGUGAUGAAUAAUUCCUUCGAUAAAACGAAAAACAAACGCAGAGAAAAGAAUUUCUUAUAUGACAAGAAAUUAAAGUAAUGUGACGGAACAUGAUGAAGAAAUUGCAGAUCGAUCAAUUAUCCCCAUGGACUCCUAUAAAUUCAACCAAAAUAACAAUUCCAAUAUUACCAAAUUCUUGAGUUAAAUUUAUUCAAUGCUUUUUUUUAAGAGAAAUUUUUUCCAAUGCUACUUUCCCUUUUUUGGGGAAAUUAGAACUGCGGCAUGUAUAGAAGACAUUGAGGUAUAAAGCAACAUUAAUUUCAUGGGUUAUGCGUUAUACGCAUAAUAUAUUUUCAGUCCAAAUUCAACUAUGCAAAGAGGCUUGAGAACUUAAAAUUAAGCACAAACUAAACAGACGAAGUAAAUACAUGAUUAUGCAACAUAACAUUAAUUCUCUUAAUUUAUAACCGUUUUGCCACAUGAAUCUUGCACAGUUAAUCCUAAUUGAAGACUAAAAAAGAACAAUUGGAACAAGGUUUUGAAAUAGAAUGAUAGACAAUCGAUAUGAUCCAUUUCCAGUCGUCAACGCUAAUUAACUGCAGUUUCUAGACUCCUAAUUAUACUAGCCAUAAGAAACUGUUUAGAAAACUGGUGAUCAGAUUAGAUUUUGAAAUGAAAUAAUGUUCAUUUUCCCUUCGUUACCCUUUUAUUUAUUUAUUAUUUUUAUACCAAAGAAUUCUAUCAUGAAACGAAUCAAUUUAAUCACCUUUUCCAGCAGCACAAUUUUUCUUUUAUAAAAUUUGACCACAGAGACAAAGAAGAAUUAUUCAUACCUUCAUCAGUAAGGAAAUACUUUUCGGUAUGGCUAGGGUGAGAAAAGGCUUUCCACAAACACUUGUACUUUGUAUUCCUGUAAAUUUUCUUUAAAGUCAAUAAAAAUCAUAAGUUCUUUACAAUAACCAUCUCUUUGAUAAAAAAAGUGCCGUAUUCCUUUAGAAUUUAAAACCGGCAAAAUCGAAUCAGUGUCUUUGAAGAGACAUAAUGGUCAUAAUUCUUUAAAGAGUUGGCUAUGGAAAUCCUUAUCCAAGAUUCUUUUACGCCAUAUUCUUUCGUAAACCAAAAUUCAUUUUGGAAUACUCUGUUGAGAAUGUCAAAUAAAACGGUAUUGAAGGAAGUUUUCAAAGGCAGAAUCCGCACUUGUCAAAGGGAUGAUCUGCAUUUGUCAGAGACACAAUCUGCGUCGAAUGAAUCGACACAUUUCCUUUUGUAUUCGCAUAUGUAAUUUUUGAAAAAAUGUAGCUUCUGCAUCUAUAAAUAACGCUCAGUGUAUAAUGUUUUAUUCAAAAAAAGAAAACAAGUUUCUUCAUACUCGUCGUCCGAACAUACAGAGACCGUCUCUCAUAACUUCAGCCGAAUACUUAUGAUGAUGAUCAUUUGUGAUUUCAUCAGGCAUAGGGUUGAUGGUGAAAAAUUUUGUAUGUGUGAAGAAUUGAGCUGUGGAUAUAGGGGACUUAAGUGUAAUCGAAAGAGAGUUAUUAGGCCAUAGUGUAGAUUGCAUUCAGUUUAUGAGUCGAUAUGCAAAUAAUUUGUUGACGUGGCGAAAUUUGUUAUGGUCGUUACUAUUGUUUCUGGAAAUUUUCUAGAAACCUCAGCAUAAAAGGGGCUUUUGGAUAGCCUCUGGUGUGCGUGUGAUUUCUCUUUCGUUUCCUCAUCAAAUUCUGUAAUUCUUGCUUUGAUAAAAAGCUUGUAAUCUCUUCUGUAAUUGUGAUCAGUGCGUAAUCAUUUUGAGCGAUAAAAGCUUGUAGGUUUUUCCUUCAAACAAUGUCGUUUUGGUCAGUUUGUUAGUUUGAUCUGUUGGUGGAAUUUUCUUUGGUUAUUUGUUCUCAAAUUUCAACCUUAUAUAAAGUUUGAACUCUAAUGGCUUAUAAUGUAUUGAUUAAGAAUAAUCCUAAGAGUUUCCGAUUGAAAUUUUUAAUGACUAUUUUUAUUGUUUUGGAUGCACAAAUUGCAUUAAGAAAAAAUAUUGUCAAAUUCAGAGGAUAACGGGAAAUAAUUAUGCUUCAAAAGGCCAGAGAUUAGAGAAUAAAGAAGCAUUCAUUACUGAUAUAAAAACUGCUUCUAUUUGGAUUUUGAAAGGGGUGAAGUUUUGAACUUCAGUUGUUCCUCUAAAAUCAAAAGCAAUAAUUAAGCAUUCUCAAUUAGAAAGAGCAAAGAAGACUUAUUGGUACCUUACUGAAGCUAACAUUAUGGCACGGUUGUUCAUAUGUAAUGGCUGCUCUGUUAUGCUAGCUUCUCUGUUUUUGCUUCUAUUUUUGCUUACAGUUUUGAAGAUAAAUUCUUGCUCAAAUAACACAUAAUUAAAUAACACUAAUAUGGCUCAUGAAAUCCUAUAAUAGCUAAUUACGCAACUUUCUCCUCCUCCUCAAUUCUGUCUUCCCCUGCUCGGACACUAACUUCAAAAUUCAAUGCCCCGAAAAACAACACAAGAAAUCUUUGAGUUAGUUCGUGACCAGUUUAUAUAUAGUAGCAAUUGAAAAAAGAAAAAGAAGAAAAGAGUUAAUUAUUUUUCAGACCUUCACUUAUUAGGAAGUUUGUUCUGCUAUUGGGUGAGAUCAAGCUCUCAGCAUAUACUUCCACAUGAUACUUUCUAACAUUUUCUUGAAAGCCAUCAAUCAUUAAAUCUUCAUACUUUUUUCCAUCCUUUGGAUCAAUAAGUACAAAUUUCUCAUCUAAAAAAGACAAAAUAAAAUCACUGUCCUUCAUGGAAUCAGAAUUGAGCUUACAAAAACCGAAGUGGACAGUUCCAUUCAGAUUGGUCGCCCGAGAACAAUGAUGAGAAGACUUAAAAUCAGUUUCAAAGGUUUUCCAAGUAUUGUUCCUCUAAACCACUUGUAUAUUUUACCAGAACUCUUGGUUAAGAAAAUCCUAGUCCAUGGAGUAUGAUAUAUCAAUCAUGCAACAAUGACCUACAACAUCUAUGUGGAUUGAUUUUUGCAAAAUAAAGAACAAUGCUGACUGAGGAAUAAGGUGCAUACCCGAUUAGCAAUAUCUCAGCAAGUAACCAACAAUUUUUUAUCUGAUAAGAAAAAAUUACAAUUUCUUGAAUAUACAUGAAACAUUUUGCAGAAAGAACCAUGUCAUAAUUAUUAGUCCAACUGAAGAAUUAUCAAUACUUAUCACAUGAAACGAAAGAUACCCGAGUUCACUUAAUGAAAUUCUCUUUUUUUUUUCUCUAACAUUGAGAUAAGCAAAAACUUUUAACUAAAGACAAUCAUCUAGUGAUCUCAAACAAAUGAGGUUAGUAUGAAACCAUCAUAAUUUGUUCGCUCAUUGCCUAAUUUUAUUAAUGCAAGAGCCUGGAAGCAACUCAAAAAGAAAAUAACCGACAUAGGAAGUGUCAUCUCAUAUCUCACCAAUGAAUGGGAACAGCUUGAUGUGGCUGAGCAAACUGGCAGAAUUGUCAUUUUAACACACGUUCAAGAAACUCAGCAAAUUCUCAUAUCUGUUUAAAUUCCACAGCAAAGAUAGUUACAAGAAAUCUAAUCAAAAUUUAAAAUGUCAGAAGGCAAAUCUUCCAAUUAGGAUCAAAAGAAGAUAAUUAUAAUUUGUCAUUUCAAUUCUGAAUGUACAAUUUUAUUUUUUUAUGUGUGCAUUAAUUAAGAUUCUACCUUCUCUGCAAAAUUGUGAUGGACUUGGUAAAUAAUGAAUUGUAUCGACUUGAAUUUUAUACAACUUAUUGAGAUAAUAAUACGCCAAAUUCAACACCGUCCAUCCCAAAUCACAACAAGAAACUCAAACUUUUAUCCCCUCAAGUGGGUUCUUGAAACUGAAGCUUUAGUGCCAGUACAAUUUUGAAAGAUUGUGAUCAAACUAAAACAUCAAAUAAAAUAAGACGUAACAAAAACACGUCUUCAGAAAAUUAGUAUAGGAAUAAGAUAAGCUACACAGACCUACUUCAAUGAAUUAGAAAAAUUAUGAUAAACUUGAUGCAUUUCGAAAAACAACAAACAAAUAUUCCCAGGAAAACAAAAAAAAGACAACUUUGUUUAAGCUUAGACAAAAAUAACUAAGGACAUAUGAAUGCAUCAUAAUAGUAUCUCUAUGGGUAAUUUUCAGAAAUCUCCCCUAAGGUAUGGUGUAUUCUUAGUUUGAUAGAAAAUAUCUAAGUAUUCUUAUAGACCUCCCCUACUGUUAGUAUUCCAUUUCGUAUAUGUUAGGUAGAUGAGGGUAAGAUCGUAAUUUGAAUAAGUUAAUGAUAAAAAAUCCAGAAAUUUUAAGAUUUUCACAUUGGCCUCUGGGCUUUAUUCAUCUCUUUCAUCCACCAAAACCAGAAAUACAACUCACCUCUCUCCUCCACCUAAAUCGAAGCAAGGUAGCUCAAAACUCAUUUCAAAAAAUUGAUCAAUUACUUGGGUCACAAACUAGAGACAAUGACGACGAAGUUGAUGACGCCAAUAUCGACGACGAAGCUGAUGACGCCAAUAUCGACGACGAAUGAUUCGCAACUGCCAGGUAAGAGAGUAUAGUAGGUUUCGCCAUCGAACGCCCAAUCAUCCAGUUGUUUUGGAGCCGCGUUAUUUUUAUUAGCUAAAAUUAGAAUUUUUAGUGAAAAAUUGAAAGUGGGUCUCAAAAUUUUUUGAGAGCGUAUAUGUUUCUCCUGAUUUUUCGAUCGAUUCGUGUUAGUUGCAGUUAAAUGAUUAAUCCAAUUCGUGUUGAAGAUAGAGCUAACUCGAAUAUCUCUAUAGUCCUGUAAUUGAUUGAAAAUGGGUCUUGAAAAUUGUUUUAGAUUUCAGCUGUGUGCUUCUGAUUUUUUCCAUGGAUUCAUGAUAGAUGAAAAUGGUUGAUGAAGAUUUGCUUGACAUGUAUAUAGAUGGUAUUUUGUUAAAGGGGUUUUAAUUUUUUCCUUUUUUGGUGGUUUCGAUUGUGGUAUUUACAUGCCUUAGGUUGAGAAAAACGAAAAUGGUUUGUUGCACUCUUUUGUGUUGGAUCAGUGAGUUUAGGCGAUUUGAAAUGGUUUGCGGCAUUCAAUUGAUUGUUUUAUUUAUGUGGUUUGAUAUGGGAAAAGUAUAAUAAAAUUCAAUUGUUCCAUAUGUCAAUUUGGAUGUUUUGAAAUUAUGAACUACAAAAAGUUAAAAUUAAUUUCUUAUUAUAUUUUCAAUUGAAAGUUACUAUUGUCUUCUUUUUAGUACUUAGUAUGCAUUUUUCCCCAUCUUCUAGUGGUGGUGUUGCACCCAUUUUGAAUUUGAUCGGCAUCUUCUUCUGUACAUGCAUGUUUCUUGGACUCCAAUUUUUGUUUCAUAUGAUGAAGCUAAUUUAAUUCCUCCUUUUUAAUAUCAACUUUGUUCAUCUAGGUUUGCGAUUUUGAUCUUUCUCAUUUGAAGGCAAACACAUUUAUGUCAUCAAAAUUUCCAAUAUUUUUUAUUUUAUAGUAUCCAAACUGCUUAUGGCAAUAUGAAAUUGAGAAUAUUUCUUUCAUCAUGUUAACCUAAGUGGAUGGUGGAUGAUGUUUGUGUAAGAGAUUUAAGUUAUUUGUAUUAUAGAAUAUGUCUUAUGUUUUGAUUUGCAAUUUCACCAUUAAAUUGGCUUUGUAAAUGAUUAGAAGCUAAAUGCAUAAAAUGAAAACAAUAGUAACAUUUCUGAGUGGGGUAUAAUCAGAUGCUAACAUGGCGAUCCAUGACUUGUAAUUUCUAUUGUCGUUAUAAUUGGACUAGAUCGAGGUAAACUGACUUUUCUUGUUCUGUUUUUUUUUUCAUUUCUUUGUUCUAGAUUUUUCUUUCUUUGUUUUACUUCUGGUUUCUUCUUCAGCAUAUUCAAUAACUAGCAUGAGCAAAUGGAGAGGAAAAGGGUAGAAUAUGCUUUUAAAAAAAAAGAAAAGAAAAAAAGAGAUAGCUCUAAUUCAAAAAUAAGGAGGAGAAAAGGGCAAUGAUUGAAGUUGUGGAGAAGAAAUUCUUAAUGCAUAGGAGAUGACAACAAAGUGUUGCAACUGGGAGCAGUUUUAAAGUGCUAUUCGAUUGCUUUUGUAAUCAAAUUGUCUUUUGUACCUAUUUAUACACACACAUAUUUGUAUUUGUAAUUUGAAUUUUACAUUUUCUCAAGACAACUAUGUUUAUUUUAAAAAAAAUCUAAAUGUAACUAAAAUAUUAAAGUUUUUGUACUUAUUACUCCAUUUGAUGAUUUUUUUUAUUUUUUUGCUGACGAAUAUUCCAUGUCAAUUUUUUUCCCUUCAGCUCGUUUAAGGUGUUUUAUUGUCUGAUGUGAUAUUUGGUGCUCGGGAGGAAGGGUGUUUUAAGUCUUUUUUGGUGUCAGGGGCAAUUUUGUCUUUACAUCAGUCAACAAAUAGUCAAUGGAUGGAAAUGCAAACAGCAGGGGAGGUGUCUGAUAAUACACGGAUACUUUCUAUCAAACUUAUAAUACACAAAAUCUCAGGGGAGGUUUUUGAAAAUUACCCAACUGUGCAAAAUUAUGAAAAAAAUGAGCUAAACAUAUAUAGCAUUUCAGAGGAGUGCUUACUUGACAAAUCACUAAUACAAAGCUGCGAAUGGGCAUUCGGAAUGUUUUGAGAGACUCGUAUGGAUAAAAUAUGUAGUUAUUUAAGUAAUGACAGAAGGAGAAUCGUGUGGCUUGUCAAAGCCGUUAGCUCCAUCUCAUUUGCCUCGUCCUCUCGUUUUGUUUCUGUGGGGACAUAUUUGAUAUUUUGGAUUUUGUCUAAAAUUCGUCAUGUUUUUGGAUACUAACAUCUGCGCCUCUAGACCAAUAGCCAUUUGAUUAAGUGGGAGAACCCUUACACUAGUGUAAGAAUUUGAACUUUUAUAAAAUUAUUUAUGAGAUUAUUUAUAAUUUUUUUUAAUUAUCAAAUAAUUGAGUAGAGUCAGUUUAAUCCUUACGAAAUAUUUACUAUUCAUAAAUAUCUUUUUUUUUCUCUAUCUUACAAUUGAAUAUUCUCUCUCUACUCCAACAUUAUGUAACCUAAAUAUUUAAUUUCACUCUUUUUUAAUUUAUUUUUUUGUCUUUUCUUAGUAUAUUAUAAUCUUUAUUUCAUGUUUUCUAUAUAUAAGAAUUUUUUUAUAUCUAUUAAAUUUUGUGUUUAGUGAAAAUUAAUUUCUUGAUAUUUUUAAUUUUUAUAAUUGAUAAAAAUAUAUCAAUGUUCAUUUUUAAAUGAUGGGUUUUGUUCAUUUUAGUUUGUUAUAUUAAUUUUUUGUAGGUAAAAGAAUAUAUUUGAAUGAAUUGAAGGAAAAUUGUGAAAUUGAGAAGAGAAAGAGAAGAAAAAGUUAAUUAAAUAAUUUUUUCAAAAAUUAUUUAAAUAAUAAAAUUCUUAAUUAAAAACAAAGAUGGAGAGAGAAAUUUAGUGGGUUCAAAAUACUUAUUUUAAAUCCAAAAAAGAACCAAUAAAAGAAAUCAAAAGAUGAUUCUUUUCUUUCUGACAUAUUUCUCUGUACUUUUCUCUCUCUACUGAUUCACAAUUUUUCAUACUUCUAACUAUCAUUUUAUUCAAGUAUUUUGUAUUUUUAAUGACAAUUAUUUAAUUUUUAGUUAGUUUUGAUAUUGAUUAGAGAUUUAAAGUGUAUUUUAGAAGACUUCCGGUCUCUUGAAAAAAGGAAAAAUGGAGAAGAAGAAGUGUUCUUGAUUUUUUGUAGGCGUUAAAGUUAAAUGGUUUGAAAUGAUAUUCUUUUUUAAUUUCACUCAUUAAUCUCAUUCAAGAUAAAAUUAUAAAUGCAAAUAAAUGGGGUUUCAUAAGUAUUUUUAAUAGUGUUAAAAGGUCUACUCACUAAAUAAACAUGUUUAACCCAAACCAAUGCGAUUAGUAAGUUAUUGGGUUGGGUUAAUCAGGUUAAAAAUCAAAAUUAAAAAUUAAAUAAAUAAAAAAGGUAUAAAAACUAUCUGUUACUUGAAAAUAAAAAGAAUUUCUAAUUGUUAGUUCUAAUGUCCCAUAUCCAAAACAUGCAUAUUAAAUAAAUAUUAUAAGUUAGAAAUACAAUAUCCAAGAAAGAAUGAAUGAAAUACCAUAUUUUUGUUGAGAAUUAAGAGUGUGAUUUUAAUUUUGAUAUUGGAGUCUAAAGUGCCACGUUUAAAUAUUCUCUUUUAUAAAAUAAUAAAAAGAGGUUAAAAAUUAGGUUAGCAAUUUAGCCAUUUAGGGUUUAGCAAUUAAGGAUGAACAUAUUAUUGUUGUUGUUGUUAUUAUUAUUAUUAUUUAUAUGUUUACUAAUCCAAUCCAAUCCAAUUAUUAACGAAUUUGAAAAAAUUGAUUCAAUCAAGCCAUAAUAAUUCAUUCAACUCGUCUAAAUUGGAUUAGGUUGAAUUUGGUUUGCCACCCUUGUUUUGAGCAACAAACCUCAAUGUGAUUCCAUGAGCUCUUUGAUUGUUUAUAAAAUUGUUUAUGAAAGUGCAAAAUAAAUUAUUGUAUACAUUAAAAUGUGCAAAACAAUGAAUUAUAUGUACGAACGAGUGCAAACACAUUUUUCAAUAAGAAGUUAAAAGAUAUUUAUGCAUGAAAAAGCCUACGUUUGUAGUUAUUCUAAAUUUUAAAAACAAAAUUUACAUUUAGAUCCCUAAAAUUUACGUAUAAGUACAAAAGUUUCAAAUAUUGUCUAUUAUUUUUUUAACAUGCCUAUUCCUUGUGGAUAAUUCUAUCUCAUCACUAAUGUUGUUUCUUGCUUACAAUUUGUAUAGUGUCUCAAAAUAGACAAUAGGGGGAUUUUGAAUUUUUUAAGUCUCAAUAUAGUCUCUAAUCUUGUGAGAAAGAUUUUCUUUCAAUAAUUUGGAGGUAAACAUAACAUAACUUUUUGGACUAAAGCCUAACUCUGCUGGUUAUGGUGGUAUCCUUUUCAAGACCUGCGUCUUUAGAUUCGAGUUUUAUAGUGUGCAUGCGUAUUUAAUUAAUAAUUUUUUAAAACAAUACAUCAAAUAUUAAUAUCCAUGACAUAAUUUAGUUCUUAAUUUUUUUUUUAAAUACAUCAAAAACAUAAUUUUUUUAACAACUUAUAGGCAUGACAAAUUUCAAGAUAUAAAUAUCAGUCAAAAUAAGUGAAAGAAAUAAUGGUGCCAAUUCUAAUUUCUUAACUAAAUUAAUUAGUGCAUGAGCCCCGAAUACGACACGAGAGUUUGAUGGGCUAACAUGGCACAAGAACCUGAAUAAAUAAUUGAUUUAAGAAAUAAUUCAAUGAAAAAUAUAAUUGAUAAGAAUUCAGUAUUGAAAUGAGUUUUUUAUGAAACACUGAAUUAAUGAUUAUUAAGCAAGAACAAUAAAAAAUAAAUAUUAAUCAUUGAUAAGUUUCAACAAAAGCUUAACACAAUCCUCAAUCCUAAUUCAAAUUAUAAAUGUCAUUCAUAUAUUCAUUAUAAUCAACAACAAAGGUUAUAAAUGUUUAGAAAUUCUAGAGGGAAGGAAGCUAUCGCUGGGCAAUCAACAACUAAAUUUGAUGUAAUUGUGGCACGAGAUGGAAUAUGGAAACUACACCAUAAUUUCAAAUGCCGCCAUAGACAUUGACUUAUCUACAAUAACAAUGAUCUAAUUAAAAUAAAAAUAGAGUUUAUGGGCAUUUAUUAAAAUAAAAAUAGGAGUGAAGUAAAAACAUUUAGAUUUUAAUGUAUGUACGGAAAAAUUUAUCUUUAAAAAUACUUUCUUAAUGUGUGUGUGCAUAUUGAAAUACUCAAACCAAUUUUGGUUAUAUAUAAUUCAACAAAAUUUAAAAUAUGAAAAAUAUAAUGUAGUUAUAGUGGAUAAGCAAUAAGUGAGCACAAUAUAAUUAAUCAAAUACUAUGCUAUCAAAAGUUAAUUUUAGAAAUUCCAAAUCCAAUAGCUAACACAAUUCUUUAAAGAAAUAACAAGGGGCAUUGGGCAAGAGUAAUGAAUGCUUAGUGGGUGCAUUUGAUUGAUAGAUAUAUAAAGGGCCGAAACUUGAUAUUAUAUUACUUUUACAAAAUUUAAUCCAAUCACAUAUUUAAUGAAAACAAAAUGAGUUAGGAUUGUUUAUUUAGAACCCACAUUUUAAUAAGGCUUCAUUUGAUGUAGUUUUUCAAACAUUGAUUAUUUGAGUAAUUACAAAGUACAAUACGUACCAAGUUUGGUAACUUAAUUGACAUCUUCUCAUAUAACCUUCGAUCAAGUCGAUUCUGACCUGACGACUAAUUGGUACAUCACCGUUGUUCUCUAUACUCGCAUGCAUCCGAUCACAAAUCUCACUCCAAUUGUCGUCUUUCUUCGGCGUUUUAGCGCAUCCUUCUUGAAUUUCCCGCAUUUCGUUCCCUCCUGUUACAAGUCUCCGGUCAGGUCAGUUCACUUGACGAUUAAUUCGGCAAAUCUCGAAUCUCUUCUCUAUCCCUCUCGUUUUCUCGUGUCUCCUUUCAGUUUAAGUGAUUGAAUCAAUUUUAUCGCAGUCUUAAGAGAAAUUAAGUAAUGCUCUUGGAUUUAAAAUUUUUUUGCUUUCGACUUUAGAUCUCGAAAGUCAAACUCUGCUACGAAUCCAUAGAUUCUCAAUGUUUAUAAUCUUAUUUGUGUUUGACCAGGUAACUGGAUCGUGAAAUUCGUCGUUUUGUAUCAAUUCAAGCUUUCGCGAGCUCAUGGAAUCCCCUGGUGAGUUGUGGUGAAACGUUAUCGUUUCAAUUUUCGCUUAAUUCUUUAUUGCAUAUUUUUUUCUCUCUAAUAUUUCAGUUUAAUUUAGAAAAGAAAGAGGACCCAAAAAGAGAGAGAGAGAGAGAGAGACUCUACCAUACUCAAUUCCUUGCUCAUUCUGAUUUGGCCUGAAUGUUGGCAUUGACUAUUAUUUGUUUUCAUUUCGAUUUAAUUCUCAUUUAGACAGUCUUUUUUAACUAGCAAUAAUCUUUUUAAGGAAAAUGAUAAUAGGGAUUCUGCAAUAAUCUUUUUAAGGAAAAUGAUAAUAGGGAUUCUGCAAUAAUCUUUCUGCAUUGUUCAAGUUAGUAGACAAUGAAUAGGGUGUUUAUGUUUACCUCAUUUUGAACCCUGAGGGCUUCGUUGAGUAGUUGAUCCAACAUAUCCAGCACCGGUUGAUGUGAGAACAGGAUGCCAUUUAGAUAGGCUUAAACUGAUUUUGGAGGUUUGUAUUCAUUCUAUUGUAUGUCUUGCUUACAAAUUUUUUAUUUUUUAUUUUUAAUUUUGUAUAAUAUGCUCUUUGUUGGUAAAUCUCAUUUGACUUAGAAGAGAUAGUUUUAUCCCAACAGUGGGAUAAAUCAUUGAGAUGCAUGGCAGUGUGAAUAUAGUAGACAAAAUCAUUGAGACAGAUGGUGGUGUGAACAUAGUAAACUUUGUCAAACACAGCUAAGAUAAACAAAUUGUUUCAUUAGCCUUUAUCUUAUCUGCUGUGAUGAUUCAAAUUAAUGCUGUUUGGUAGGUUGCAAAAAACGAAAUGAGCUGACUGUUCAUAUUAUUUAGUCAGAUCUAUUGCAAUAAGUUGAAGUUCACUGUCACAUGGGUUGGGAGUAGCGUGGGCUGUGAGUAGUAGAAUGGAUUUAUGGAGUUGAUACAAGUGCCCAUAAUCUAUCAUGUCAUUCUAGGAUUAAAUGGAUUGCACAUUACUGUAAAGAUGGAGGUUAAAUUUAUAUAAUUCGGAUUGAUUGUAAAAUGGGAGGCAGAGAUGAGUUAGAAAAAAAAUGACCUGUGUCCUUUUUGAGCUGUUUCUAAAUCUCCCUGGUGUGCUUCAUGCUUAACACGUGUCUGUCCAAAUAAUUUUGCUUAACCUGUGCUUGUCUACUUCUUGUGCUAUUCUGUGCCUGGUCCUGAGCUGUGUUGGUAGAUUGACAUAAUUUUGCUCUGCUAAAUGUAUAACUUAUUAAUCAGAGUCCUGUUAUUAUGGUUUGACACUACUGACAUGUUGUGUUGGUAUUUAUUUGUACUUCCCUUGGUUGAAUUAUUUGCUGUCUCCAUGCCAUUCGAUAUGGUGCUACUUGGUUUUUGAUCAUCCAUGACGCUAUAUAUAUGUAAAGGAUGAAUUGAUUGUUUUGGCUUGUAUUCUCACAUUUUAUGAUUGAUCGAUGGAAAGGUCUUCAUGUAUUAAAUUCAACCUCACAAGCGUAAGAUUGACAGAUUGUGGGAAAAUUUUCAGGAAAAGAAACUAGACUUCAUGGAAGCAAUGAAGCUUGAAAUUGAACGUCUGCAGCUGCAUCUUUCUGCAGCUGAAAGGGAUAGAGCUUUAUUGUCAAUUGAAACUGAUCCUGCCUCUAUAAAUCCAAAUGUAUUGCUUGAUGAAUCUUACAUGGGAAGACUGUCGAGUAGCAACCACUCUUGCAUUACUUGGCCAAACUUCCCUAGAAGACAAAAUUGUUGGUGCAAUUGGCCUUGAGAAUAGUGAUGAUAGUGUUUUAGACUUCUGGAAUAUUACUAGAAUCGGAGAGAGUUGUUCUGGUGGCGGGUGCAAGGUUUGUGCAGAAACUAAGGUGCCUGCUCUUGCUUCCUCAACUGCAACAUCUGUUGGAGCUUCACAAUCCCCUUUGUUGUGUUCUCAAUGUGAAAGAAAAGUUUGCAAAGUUUGUUGUGCAGGAAGAGGAGCUCUACUGUUUUCAAAUUAUAAAUCAAGGGAUGUGACCAACUACAAUGGCUUCUCAAGUCAGAGUGGAUGAAGCCAUGGAAGCCAAGUUGAUGUAUCUACCAGUCGUUCACUAACACUGGAUGGCGUUAUCUGUAAACACUGCUGCCAUGAGAUUGUGCCUGAUGCAUUGAUGUUGGACCAUGUUAGGGUCUUGAUUAGCUUGCGAAGAAGUUCCUGUGCAGACAACGCAGUCAUACAAUGCUUUGAAUGAGGUUGUUGGAUCCUGCUUAAAGGAUAGUGUUUCUGAAAGGAUUCAGUCUUCCGAUAACGUGCAAGCUGCUGAAGUCCUUCACCAAUUAUGUGGUGGACAGGAAUCACUUGCUGAAUUUCCAUUUGCUAGCUGUUUGCACUAGGUAUGUUCUUGGUUUGUAUUCAGUUCUCAUCAUGUUAUGUUUUCCUUUUAAAUUUCUUUUCUUGAUUAAAAUUUUUAGAAAUAUGUUUUAGUAUUUGUUCUUAUGAUAUAUGCCCAGAACAUUCAUCCCACUUAUCCAUGAGAAUCCUUGUCUGGUUUGAUUUUCAAUUGAGACAUUUUUGGGAACCCUGAGCAGGUUCCAUAUGCUAAUAAUCUUUGAGGUAAGGUGUUGUAGGAUGCCUUGAGAAGCUAAAAACCUAUUACAAGGAAAAGCUCUUGCAUUGUUUUGUGGAAUCUGUGUUGUGAAAAUAGGUAGAGAAAAAGUUUAUGGAAUAAUUCUCUUAUUUCAUAUGUUCAUGAGACUGUACACAGUCUUUAUAUAGGGAUACAAGAGACUAAGAAAGGAAAGAAAAAAUUAAAGCAGAAUAUUACACACUGAUUUCUAGGAAGCAAUAACUCUAUAUUUACACCAAAUAUACACCUAAAUAUAUAAGGAAAACCAAAUCAAUUUGAUUUGGUCAACCUUUCAACACUCCCCCUCAAGCUGGUCUAAAAAUGUCUUUCAUGGCCAGCUUGCAAACCAAUUUCUCAAAAUGUUUCUUAGGUAGUCCCUUGGUGAGUAUAUCAGCAAUCUGCUCAUUUGUAGGAAUGUAGGGCAUGCAGACCAAACCACUGUCCAGUUUUUCUUUUAUGAAAUGUUUGUCCACUUCAACAUGUUUAGUUCGGUUGUGGAGUACUGGAUUAUGUGCUAUUGCAAUGGCAGAUUUGUUGUCACAAUAUACUUUCAUAGGUAGAGAAUUAUUUGCCUUAAGUUCUUCAAGAACUUUUUUGAUCCAAAAAACCUCACAAAUUCCUAGAGCUACUGCUCUAUAUUCUGCCUCUGCACUACUUCUUGCUACCACAGUUUGUUUCUUGCUGCGCUAAGUGACCAAAUUUCCUCCGACAAAGGUGCAGUAACCCGAAGUGGAUCUUCUAUCGGUUACACUACCAGCCCAGUCAGCAUCAGUGUAGACUUCUACUUGUAGGUGCCCGUUUUUUCUAAACAAAAGACCUUUACCCGGAGAUCCUUUUAAGUAUCUAAGGAUUCUAUAUACAGUUUCAAAGUGUUCUGGUCCUGGAGCAUGCAUAAACUGGCUGACUAAGCUCACUGCAAAGGCUAUGUCCGGGCGUGUAUGUGAAAGGUAGAUUAAUCUACCUACAAGGCGUUGGUACCGAUCUAUGUUGGUCACAUCUUCAAUAUUAGCUGGCUGUAAUUUCAUAUUAGGAUCUAUGGGUGUCUCGGCUGCUUUACAUCCGAGUAAACCUGUCUCUUCAAGCAAAUCAAGAACAUACUUGCGUUGAGACACAACAAUCCCAUCUUUUGAUCUAGCAAACUCCAUGCCCAAAAAAUACUUCAGGUUGCCUAAGUCUUUGAUUUCAAAGUCACGUGCAAGCACUUUCUUUAAUCUGCAAAUCUCAACUAAGUCAUCACCAGUCAAAAUUAUAUCAUCUACAUAUACAAUUAACACGACUAAUUUCCCUUCAAUAGAAUGUUUGUAAAACAUUGUAUGAUCUGCCUGACUUUGGGAGUAGCCGUGUCCCUUUAUAACAUUACCAAAGCGUUCAAACCAUGCUCUAGGAGACUGUUUGAGCCCAUACAAAGACUUAUGUAGUUUACACACUUUACUGUUGCCAUGAUUUCCCUCAAAACCUAGUGGUAAAUCCAUAAAGACUUCUUCUUCUAGCUCCCCAUUCAGAAAAGCAUUUUUAACAUCUAACUGGUAUAGAUUCCAAUCAGAAUGUACAGCCAAUGAGAUAAGGACCCGGAUGGAAUUUAUCUUUGCAACGGGGGCAAAAGUUUCUUGAUAAUCAAUUCCGUAGGUUUGAGUGAAUCCUUUUGCUACAAGCCUUGCCUUAUAUCUCUCAACACUCCCAUCAGCAUUACAUUUAAGUGUAAACACCCACUUUCAACCCACAGUUUUCUUUUCUUUUGGUAAAUCCACAAUCUCCCACGUACCAUUCUUCUUUAGAGCAUUCAUUUCCUCUAAAACUGCUAACUUCCAAUCUGGGUGGUCUAGGGCUUCUUUUAUGGUUUUAGGAAUUGGUAUUUGAGAGAUUUUUGUGGUAAAGGCUCUUUGUUUAUUGGACAACUUUUCAUAGGAAACAUAUCUAGCAAUGGGGUGCUUAGUACAGGUUCGGGUUCCUUUCCUAUGUGCUAUGGGUAAGUCAAGAUCAGGAAAAAAAGUGCUGAAAUGUUUAGGAGAAGAAAUGUUACCUGAAUUUUCUGAGGAAUCAGUGCUUGGAGGCAACGAUUGAGGCUGUAUCGAGUUUAUGAGAGGGUCUUUACUGUUGUGAUGAUACUUUCGAGUAUAAACACGCAGCUCUGGUGGUGGAAUUUUAUCUUGUAGUAUUUCUCCCCCUGUCUCUGGUACAUUAACACUUGGUUCCUGUAGUUCAAGGUUUCCUAGGUUUUCAUUAUUAGAAAUAUCAGUUUUUUGAGUUUGAGUUGGAGUGCCCAGAUCAGGUAAAAACUGAUUAGGCAUAGGUGUAGAAGUAUGCCAAAAAUGAUCUUCACUAUUUUCUUUCUCCCCCUGAAGAGAAUUUUGGCCAAAAAAAGGUUGAUUUUCGAGAAAUAUAACAUCCAUACUGACAUGGAAUUUCUUUGUUUGAGGAUUGAAACAUUUGUAACCUUUUUUAUUAGGUGCAUAGCCCAAGAAAACACAUUUUUCAGAUCUAGGAUCCAAUUUAGAUCUAAGAUGGUUAGGAACAUGAACAAAUACAGUGCACCCAAAGACUCUUAACUGAAUAUUGGAGGUAAUCCUACUAGAAGGAUAUAUAAGUGUGAAGUAUUCUAAAGGUGAUUGAUACUUUAAAACACGGGUAGGCAUCCUAUUAAUCAAAUAACAUGCUGUUAAAACAGCAUCACCCCACAAAUAUUUAGGAACAUGCAUAGAGAGCAUGAUAGCCGACUAACUUCAAGUAAAUGGCGGUUUUUUCGUUCCGCAAUUCCAUUUUGUUGUGGAGUAUCACGACAAGUGGAUGUGUGAAUUAUACCCUUUUCCUUACAAAACACCUCUAGAUAAUUAUUAAAAUAUUCAGUACCAUUAUCUGUAUGGAGUAGACUUAUUUUUGUUUGAAAUUGAUUUUCAACCAUGUUAUAAAAAUCUUUGAAUAACCCCUCAACUUCAGAUUUUUCUCUCAUUAAAUAAACCCAACAAAGCCGAGUAUGAUCAUCUAUGAAUGUUACAAACCAUUUUUUUCCAGUUAAAGUGUUGAUUUUUGAGGGUCCCCAAACAUCACUAUGAAUUAAAUAAAAAGGUUUUGAGGCACGAUAAAUAAGUGCUUUAUAUGAAACUCGAUGACUUUUAGAUAAAAAACAACUUUCACACUGAAAAGUAGUACAAUCAACAUUUUUAAAUAAAUUUGGAAACAAAUAUUUCAAAUAAGGAAAGCUAGGGUGUCCUAGUCUAAGGUGCCAAAGCAUUAUUUGAUCCCUAGCAGAGUUUGAACUAAUACUACUGCUCAAACCUUGAGUUUGUUUAUUCCUUGAUAAGUAGUCAUCAAAAUAGUAAAGACCUUCUCGCAAACUAGCACUGCCAAUCAUCGUCCCCAAGUCCCUGUCCUGAAAUUCACAAUGGGAGUCAAAAAAGACAGCACAACAAUUAGAAUCUUUGGUUAAUUUACUGACAGAUAACAGAUUGCAAGAAAGUUUAGGGACAUGUAGCACAUUUUUAAGCUCAAUGGUUCCAGAGAUUUUUAUUGAUCCUUUUCCAGCUAUGGAAGAUAAGCUUCCAUCAGCAACUCUUACCUUUUUGUUACCAGGGCAAGGAUAAUAGGAAUCAAAUAAACUAGAAAUGCUAGUCAUAUGAUCAGAAGCACCCGAAUCAAUAAUCCAUGGUGCAGUAGUUGAGUGGCUAAAUAGAGCAUUAAUAAUACUACCUGUUUGGGCUAGUGAACCACUAGGAGUACUAGGUGGAGGAUUAGAAGUCAGCAGCUUUAUGAGAUGGUCAAUUUGCUCCUUGCUGAGAUUUUUUUCUAGAUUCUCCACUUCAUUGGCAGACGCACGGCUAUGCUUGCUGUUUUUCCAAUCUGCAGGCUUUCCGUGGAGUUUCCAGCAAGCCUCCCGAGUAUGGCGUGGUUUAUUACAGUAAUCACACCAUACUCGAGGUUUUUGUUGCUGUUGAGUGAUGGAGCGGGUAGCAUUAUCUGCUGUAACAAGGGCAGAUUUUUCCACAGAGACAACGGAGUUCUUUUUUCCCAACAUAACACCUCGACGACUUUCUUCUCUCCUUACUUAAGAGAAAACAUCCUCAAGAGUAGGAAGUGGCUUUCUCCCAAUAAUUCUUCCUCUUACCUCAUCAAAUUCAACAUUGAGCCCAGCCAGGAACUUGAAGAUUCGCUCAUUAUUGACAGUUUGUUUGUGGUGUUUAAAAUCUUCCAUGCUCUCCCACUCGUAGUCGUUGAAUAAGUCCAGAUCUUGCCACAAUCUCUUUAGAGUAUUGAAGUAUUUUGUUAUACUAUAAUCUCCUUGACGGAUAUCUCCAAGAGCAAGCUGCAACUCAUAGAUCUGGGACUGAUUUCCAUAGUCAGAGUACAUCUGACUCACAUUAUCCCAGAGUUCUUUUGCAGUAGAGUAGCACAUAUAAUUUGCACCAAUGUCUUCAUCCAUGGAGUUGACUAACCAUGCCAUAAUCAUGGAGUUUUCGGCAUCCCAAACACCAUAAGAGGGAUCAGAUAUUUCAGGAGCCUUAACAUCUCCGGUAAGAUAACCAAUCUUCCCUCUUCCCCUAAUAUACAUUCUAACCGACUGAGACCAUCUUUGAAAAUUUCCUUCAUUCAGCCGGAUAGUUGUAAUCUGGACAGAAUGAGAUUCAGAAUGGGAAAUUUUUGGUUCUAGUCUUUUUGAGGUGACUGUGGUUUCAGAAGAUUGGUCAGACAUGGUAGGGAAGAGAUCAGAAAGAAAGGGAGCCUAGCUCUGAUACCAUGUGAAAAUAGGUAGAGAAAAAGUUUAUGGAAUAAUUCUCUUAUUUCAUAUGUUCAUGAGACUGUACACAGUCUUUAUAUAGGGAUACAAGAGACUAAGAAAGGAAAGAAAAAAUUAAAGCAGAAUAUUACACAUUGAUUUUUAGGAAGCAAUAACUCUAUAUUUACACCAAAUAUACACCUAAAUAUAUAAGGAAAACCAAAUCAAUUUGAUUUGGUCAACCUUUCAACAUGUGUGCUAGCAAGUCAUGUCUCUAAUAAUUUCAUAGUUUGCUUGAUUGGAAUUUUUUAUCUUGAUAUGGAUUGUUUAUUCUAGAUUCCUUGGUGCUGUAGGUUGAAACAGCAAAAGAUUCAGCACCGAUUUUGUCACUGCUUGCUCCAUUAAAUUCUGGAUCAAGGCACUCAUAUUGGAGAGCUCCACCUUGUACUACUUCUGUUGAAUUUGUUAUUGUUCUCUGUUCUGUUUCUGAUGUCAGUGGGGUUAUCUUGCUUGUUAGUCCUUGCGGCUAUUCUGUGGGUGACACUCCGAUGGUAAGUGCCAUAUUUAUUCCCUUAUUUCCUUGUUGUUCAAUAAAUUUGGUGAUAAGCCAAGUGGCCUUAAUAAUGAAGCCCAGUACCAGGGGUGGUGGGUAAUCGAUAUUCAACUUGUGAAUAUUCCUAAGCAAGCACUGAAUCAACAUAGACCUCGGCAAAAGUUCUCCAUGCUAUUAUAACGAAAGUCAUAUUUUGAAAUGAUUAAAAGAGUCCCUGUGUAGUGCUAUUUCCAAAGAAAUUGCAGCUGGAGGUUUAGUUUCAUGUAGGUUAGUUUCCGAUAAUAAACUUUCCAUUUCAUUAAUUGCUGAUGAAAAAACCAAGUAAGAACAGUUUUGUUGCUCGUCAUUUAUGUAUAUUUUGGUAAACUGUAAUUUUAAAUUCUCAACGAUCUUCCCUUUGUAGGUAAGAAGAUGGUCCACUCACUUGAUAUUUAUGAUUGUAGAUCAGGUUUCUAUUGGUUUGCCUUUAUCAUUCGGAACCCAAGUUUGAUAUUAACAGAGAUCACGUCAAUAAUAUCCUAUUUGGGUAGAUGUGGGUGAGGAUUUAAAAUCAAAUUUGAAAUUGAGGGCAAAGAAGAGAAAAGAAACCGCAAUAAUUAAACAAAAUAUUAGGAACUAUUCUGAUGAGUUUUAAUCUCGAGAGGAACAAUUUUCAAAUGCAAAAUUUAACUGCUAGAGAAAUUGUAGCUUUUUGUCAUUAGUUAAGAGGAAAGAGAAUAAGAACUAUCUGGCCCUUUCCUUCAUGAAUGUGUGUUGAGGUUGCUGUAUUAUUUAGUCAGUAUUUGUAAUUUUCUUCCCUGCAGUGCUCUCUGCCUCCUGAAUUUGCUACUGAGUCCAUAUUUUUCUUUGAGCUGUUGCUUCCUAUUGCUGUUACAGGUACAAAUCUGGGCAAGCAAUAAGAUACACCGGGAGGACAGGUCAUCAAUGGGAAAAUGGGAUGUCCAAUCCCUCAUCACAUCUUCUUCAGAUUUGUAUGGUCCAGAAAAGUCUGCUAGUGUUGAAAAAUUACCUAGGCAUGUAAAAUUUACUUUUAAGAAUCCUGUUAGGUGCCGCAUUGUUUGGAUCACAUUACGUCUUCAGAGACCUGGUUCGGCUUCAGUUAAUUUCGGGAAUGACUUCAGUCUUUUGUCUCUUGAUGAAGAUGAAAACCCCUUUGCACAAGUAGACAGACGUGCUUCAUUUGGAGGAGCAGUUGAAAAUGAACCAUGUAUUCAUGCCAAAAGAAUUCUUGUAGUCGGAAGCCCAGUAAAAAGGGAGGGGCUUACCACAUCACAGAGCUCUGAGCAGCUAAGUAUUAGAAACUGGUUGGAUAGAGCUCCACAAAUGAGUAGAUUCAAGGUAUUAGUUGCUUUCACUCUUUGUUCAUUCAUAAUUCCAGCUUUCUGCUUGAUGCCUUGCCUCUGAUAAACCUCUUUUUUCUCUUCAGGUCCCAAUUGAGGCCGAGAGAUUGAUGGACUACGAUCUCGUCUUGGAACAGUAUCUACCUCCAGCGUCACCUUCGCUUGCCGGAUUCCGUCUAGAUGCUUUCAGUGCAAUAAAACCUAGGGUUACCCAUUCACCUUCCUCAGAUUCAGAUAUCUGGGACAAAUCAGUAACAUUUUUAGAAGACAGGUACAUCUCUCAAGCUGUGUUGUAUUUACAAGUAUCCGCACUCCAGGAACCACAUAACAUGGUAACUAUUGCGGAAUAUCGACUGCCGGAGGCUAGAGCCGGAACGCCAAUGUACUUUGAUUUCCCACGACCGAUACAGUCCCGACGAGUUUCAUUCAAGCUUCUUGGAGAUGUUACAGCAUUUGCAGAUGAACCUUCAGAACAAGAUGAUUCAGGAUUGAGAGCUCCACUUGUGGCCACAGGUUUGUCUUUGUCAAACAGAAUCAAGUUAUAUUAUUAUUGUGAUCCUUAUGAGCUCGGAAAAUGGGCAAGCCUUUCUGGAGUUUGAUCGUUAUUUAUAUGUCAGAGAAAGGGUUUUGGGUUUGAUUUUGAUUUUGAUUUGUAAUUUUUGUCAGUUUAUUGAAAUUUUUUGUUGUAUAAAAGCAGAAUGUAAAGGUAUAAAAAUUCAUUGAUGCUGCAAUGUCUGUGCUUUUGAGAAAGAAAGAAUUCUAUGGCUUUUCUAUGCCAUUGGAUUUUCCACUGCCUGUAAACUUGGGCUGUCGAAUGCUCUGUGAACCUUAAGGGCUAUAAAGUAAUUUUCAAGACUGAAGGAUUUAUUAAUCGAGUUCAAAAGAUUGCAAGUUGGUGAGCGUUGGCAUUUAAAAAAUCAAUUGUUAUUCUCUCAAUAAUCUCUGUCUUCUGCCGACACCCCAUGCUCAGAAACCCAUUGUUCCGACGGACGUGUAACACUUCUAGAAAUUGUUUUGAUCUCUCCUCGUGAAGUGUUUUCUUUUUCGAGUGAAGGUGGUUUUCUACUUGCAUACGUCGGGGGUCUUAUGAUAUGUAAUGUGUGAAAUUUCUUUCUCAUUUUACCAUAAAGAAAAAUGUUGUAAUAAUCUAAAGCUCGAGUCUUAAAUUAUCUUAAAUUUAUAUUUAGAGUGGAGCUAUUCGCAAUCCUACAUUAAAAUUACAAAUAAAAAUAAUUGAAAAUUAAACACUUAUAGAUUUUUUUUACAACAAAUUAUUUAAUUCAUAAUCAAUCCUUUAAAAAAAAAAAUCCAUAUGUUACUUGCUAUCUAACUAAAAUAAAUUUUACAAAUUUAGAAUAAUCUAUUGAUUUCUUUUGAUUUCUUAUUAAUUAAAUAUUUUUAUACAUAAAAUUGCUUUGAAAUUAUAAUUUGAAAUAUGUGUUAUUUCAGCCAAUGAUUAACACUAAAAAACUUAUCACCCAUAUAACUUUUUAAUUUGUGUGUAGGGUAAUAAUAAAAUCAAAAAUAAUUAAAAAAAUAGUACAAUAAUGAGUUUUAACAAUAAAACAAAUCAAAUGAAAAUUGAAAAUUUAGAAAAAAUGUAUCUAAAAAAGGGAACGUUUUUUAAAAUAAAAUGAAUAUAACUAAAAAGGGGUUUUAUGAGAAGAGCAGAGGGGUGCCAAUAGUCCAACUUGUAAUUAAGAAUCUCCCAUUAUAUUGUCAACCAAAAAGACACUUGAAUAAGAAGAAGAAUUUAUCAGUUUGAUUUUAUUUAUAGAUCCAACAUUUCUCAUAUCCUAAACGCCUUUCCGUAUCAAAUUAAAACAGUAGUCGCAAAAUCGUAGUAUUAAAAUCGUAGUGCACAUUCAAUUAACCAACUAAUAGUCUUUGGUAUAAGAUUUUAUAUUAGCUAGCCAAGUAGGUUGUCCAUCCCACUCAGACAUGAACGAAAGCUAAAUUCAUCAAAUGGUGUUAUACUAUUAAAUAUUUUUAUAUUUAAAAUUACUUUGAAAUUAUAAUUUCAAAUUAAAAUAGUAGUAGCAAAAUCGUAGUGCACAUUCAAUUAACCAACUAAUAGUCUAAGAAGCAAAGAGAGGAUUACAAGUUCACAACACCAUUACAAAGGAUUCAAAAUUCCCACACGAAAACAUCAAUGUACAGAUUAUAAACAAUCCGAAUUGGACACAAGAAAAAGCCCUUCAAUGGAUUGCUUUCCUUCCCAAUGCUAUAUACUGUGCAAACUCCGCACUGGCCAAGAAAAUGUUUUCAAUUUAGUGUAUUUUCAAAUUGCUUAUUUUCUCAUAAUAUAAAAAAUAAAAAAGAAUCCUUACAUGUUUCAUCAGCAUGAUUAAAAUCAAAGAAGAAAGCGAAGACGUAAUGUCUCUGACAUAAUAAAAUUACAAAAAUUUCAAGGAAAAAAAAAAGGUUAAAACAUGUAAUCUUCAGAAGCAUAUAAUAAAAGAACACUUCCACAAAUUACUACAAUUUCAUGCAGUAGAGAUUGAAGAGUUGAAUUCCACUAAUUUUAAUAAUGAAAACAACAACAGAGGAUUAACUGAUGCUUUGACUUAUUAGCAGGUUGCUUUGACUUAUUAGUUCUGCAGCUAAGUUAAAUAAAAUAAGCUAUUUUCAAAAGCAAAAUGGAAUACAUAGAUAAAAACAUCAUCUUAAACAAAUCACAAUCUAGAAUUAGAGCAUUUUCGACAUACCUAAGGAACACGAAUACGUGAAAACGGGUGAUUUAUUUGUUAAGGAGUGUUGAUUUGGUCGUCUCUGCAAAUUCUUUAGGGACUCGGUUCCAAUUCCUCUUCAUCAAAACUGUAAUAUAAUUCCCCUUCAUCAGAACUCGAAUCGAUGCAAUAUAAUUCCCCUUCAUCAGAACUCGAAUCAAAUUCACUUGCAGCAGUUCCACUCGCGCUUGGCAAAUCAUCCAAUUUCCAAACUUCGGUAACAAAAUUGAGAGUAAAAGUGUUGGCUUUGAUCUCGCUGGGAUUUGCAUAUACUGGACAUACUCCGCAACGUUUUAUCUUCUGACCCUUUUGGACCUUUAUUAUGUUUCGGUGACACUCAUUGAAGAACUUAAAUGUGGCAGUUGAAUGAUGGUCACCAUCAGGAAAGCCAACAUUCAAGCAAGGUUUAAAACCAAGUAUGACAUGAUCUGAAUCAUGGGGGUCUUGAAUUGAGUGCAAAUUGUAACCCAGAUGAACAUGUUUGGUUUCAGAGAGAGUCUUUAUUUCUAAGUCGGAUCGACAGUAAACGUAAAAAUAACGAAAACGAUCAGAAUAAAGUUGCUUAAAAUCAAGAACAGCACAAAAAGCAAACCCGAUUAAGUUUCUGCAAAAAGAGUGCGGUGGCAGUUGAAUACGUAUCGAAGAUCCUGAACUUUGAUUGCUGAACCAGUCAGGAAUUUCGCUCCCAGGUAAAACAAUUUGGGAUCCCCUGAGUUCAGAAAGUUUCUGCGAAACGACAUUUAAAAAAAGAAAAUUGUAAAAUGAAAACCAUGAUUUCAGAUAUAACAAAGAGGGACAGAGUAAACAAGAGAGGGAAUUUGAUACCUCGUUGUAUGCAUUUUCAUAGCCCAGUCUCAGUGAUGCUGCAAUUGCCAUACGUAGUGAAUCUGCCAAAAUCUUGUUGUUUGCUUUUCCAUCAAGUUUCAAGCAGUUAGUAAACUCAAAACAAAUUGGUUGUGGCGUCACAUAUUCCGGAUGCCAUUCACGAAGGUCAGGAGAGGGUUUGGAUAGCUUUUCGAGUACGGAUGCAUCUAGUUCUUGUACACAUGACGGAAUCUCUGGCAAAGAUUGAAGCCGGUUGCAGUUCAUUGCUUUUAGUGACUGUAGACACAAUGGAAGUUCUGGUAAUGACCGAAGC